CCAUAUGAGUAUUGAUCCCAUUGAAGCGGAGGUGGGAGAAGGAUUACCUAGUAAUGUGGUGGAUGACGAUGAACCGAAUAUCACAAAUAUUCAUCCAUCGGAUGCUUGGGCUAGUUGGAGGAUGGAACUAGCCAACCAAAUGUUCGAUGAAUGGCAAGCAUCUAGAAAUUAGUUUGUGAAACUUUUGUGAAAUUUUUGUGAGACUUUUGUAUUGAUUUUUGUAUUGUAUUAAACUUGUUGAAUUAUAAUUUAAUUUCUUCUCAUUCAGCAUCUGUUAUAAUUUUAAAUUUUUUGUAGUAUGAAUCAUAUAUAUUCAUGAUAUUGAACUUAAUUAUAAUUUUAUAAAGUGUUCACCUUUUGAAUCAUGAUAUUAAAAUAGUAAUUAAUAUAAUUUGUUUUCUUUUUUGUUCUUAAGAUCAUUAUGUCAGGUGUUCUAGAAUCAAAUGCUUAUUCUCAAGCUUCUCGAGGAAGCAAAAGAAAAUGGGUUCCAGAAGAAGAUGCAGCAUUGGUUUCCUGCAUGGUGGACCUGCACAAUGGUGGAACAUUUAAUGCUGAUACUGGGUUCAAAGCCGGUUAUCUAAACAAGUUGGAAAGAAUGCUACAAACGGUUUUACCAAAUGCAAUGUUGAAGGCGAAACCUAAUAUUGAAUCGAGGAUUAGGUUACUAAAAAGGGAGUGGUCAAUCGUCUACGACAUGCUUAAUGGCCAAAACAAUAGCGGUUUUGGUUGGGACGAGCAUAGGCUGCUCGUUGUUGCUGAAGAUGCGGUUUGGGACUCCUAUUUAAAGGUAAGAUUAUUUCAAGUCUUUAUUAUCUUAUUUUUACCAAACUUAUGACUAAUAUGAUUUCCCCAUUUUUUUAGAGUCACCAAGAAGCCGCUCAAUUCAGAUAUCGUACUUUCCCUUACUACGACCAGCUUACUACCAUAUACGCAAGAGAUCGAGCAACUGGGAAAGAUGCUCAAACAGCUACUGAUGUUCUUGAAGAAAUAAAUGCUGCGGAUGUACGUACUACAGGUAUGGAUGAAGAAAGAAACUCAUUCUAUGACUGCGAAGCUGACAUCUCUUUGGAUGACAUGGAUGUUUCUGCUGCGGAGCUGUAACGAGAUAGAGACCAAGGGGGUUCCUCAUCUUCAAACAAGAGAAAGAAGAAAUCUGAUGCUCAUGAUAUGUCUUCUUCAUUUGAUGAGGCUGCCACUUUAUUGGCCGAAAACAUCAAGGCCGUUGGCGAUCAAAUCAGUAGGAGUAUUGCCUCGGAGGUGGUAGUUCAGCAGAAGUCAGAAGACUAUCAAAAGAUGGAAGAGAAAGCUUCAAAUUUAUAUUCAGCCUUAUGGGAAAUUGAAGGUUUAACCGACGAUCAGCGGUAUGAUGCUUUGAGUAAAAUUCCAGAUCAUCCAACUCAAAUGAUCGUUUUCUUUAGUUUACCUUCUGUUUCCCGAUUGGAAUGGGUCAGAAGAUUUCUUUCUCACCAUUAAAAAUCAAUGUUCAAACUUUUUGAUGUUAUAAAACUAUAUAACAUAUGGAUUAUGAUGUAGAAUUUCAUUUUCAUCUAACCUUUUCUUAAUAUAAGUUAAUUAUGUCUAUGCAGAAUAUAAUUCUCAAGUUAUAUAUUGAUUUUAGUAAAUUCAUAUAAGAACAUUUUAUUAUUAAGAAUUUUAUGAAAUUAUAUAUCAUUAUUAAAUUAUAUUUAAUAUUAAUUAUUUUAAAUUGUAUAAAUUCGUAUAAGAAAAUUUAUUAUCAAGAAUUUUAUGAAAUUAUAUAUUAUUAAAUUAUAUGUAAUAAUAAUUAUUUUAAAUUAUACAAAUUCAUAUAAUAUAAUUUAUUAGUUAUAAUUAUUUUAUAUUUUAUUAAAUAAUAUCUUUUAAUUAAAAUAUAUUUAAUAUUAAUUAUUUCAAAUUAUCUUUUAUAGUAUCAUAUAUUAUGAUUUGAGUAAAUUCAUAUAAGAUAUUAAUUAUUAAGAAUUUUAUUAAAUUAUAUAUUUUAAUUAUAAUAUAUUUAAUAAUUAUGUUAAUGUGUCUUUUAUAGUAUCAUAUAUUAUGAUUUGAGUAAAUUCAUAUAAGAAUAUUAAUUAUUAAGAAUUUUAUUAAAUUAUAUAUUUUAAUUAUAAUAUAUUUAAUAAUUUAUGUUAAUUUAUCUUUUAUAGUAUCAUAUAUUAUGAUUUGAGUAAAUUCAUAUAAGAAUAUUAAUUAUUAAGAAUUUUAUUAAAUUAUAUAUUUUAAUUAUAUUUAAUAAUAAUUAUGUUAAUUUAUAUUUUAUAGUAUCAUAUAUUAUGAUUUGAGUAAAUUCAUAUAAGAAUAUUAAUUAUUAAGAAUUUUGUUAAAUUAUAUAUUUUAAUUAUAAUAUAUUUAAUAAUAAUUAUGUUAAUUUAUCUUUUAUAGUAUCAUAUAUUAUGAUUUGAGUAAAUUCAUAUAAGAAUAUUAAUUAUUAAGAAUUUUAUUAAUUAUAUAUUUUAAUUAUAAUAUAUUUAAUAAUAAUUAUGUUAAUUUAUUUUUAGUAUCAUAUAUUAUGAUUUGAGUAAAUUCAUAUAAGAAUAUUAAUUAUUAAGAAUUUGUUAAAUUAUAUAUUUUAAUUAUAAUAUAUUUAAUAAUAAUUAUGUUAAUUUAUCUUUUAUAGUAUCAUAUAUUAUGAUUUGAGUAAAUUCAUAUAAGAAUAUUAAUUAUUAAGAAUUUUAUUAAAUUAUAUAUUUUAAUUAUAAUAUAUUUAAUAAUAAUUAUGUUAAUUUAUAUUUUAUAGUAUCAUAUAUUAUGAUUUGAGUAAAUUCAUAUAAGAAUAUUAAUUAUUAAGAAUUUUAUUAAAUUAUAUAUUUUAAUUAUAAUAUAUUUAAUAAUAAUUAUGUUUAAAUAUGAUUAAAUUAUUUAUUAUUGAUAUUAAUAAUCUUAUUAAAAUUUAAAUAACAAUAACAAUAAUCAUUUACCAAAACAAAUUUAUGCUAAGGGUAUUCUAGUCAUUUUAGUUUUUUCCAUUAUGCUAUUACACCUCUAUUACAUUCAACCAAACACAAGAAUACUAUUACGCCUCUAUUCCAUUACAUUCAACCAAACAAUUGAUUUGCUAUUACACCUCUAAUCCAUUACACCUCUAUUCCAUUACGCCUCUAUUCCAAUAGAGCGAACCAAACGUGCUGUUAGGAUAGGGGUUUAGGCUAACCCUAAGCUCUUGAUUAACACUACGAAUUGUGCAAACUAGACUGACUCCGGAUACUCACCAAUCACGCUUCUGCUUACAAGCUAAAAGCUUAAAACAAGCUUUUUCUUUCCUUUAGACUUGUCCAUAGUGGCUCCUGAUUAAUAUGGAAAUUUACACACAUAAGAAACAUAUUCCAAACUCAUCAAAACAUCCUUGAACACAACCAAACAGCAAGAAAUAAAAAACAAUUCAAGUCUCUCCUUUUUUACUACCGAAAACUAGCUAGUUUUGUCAAAAUUAAAAUUUUUAAGUGCCUAACCUAAUUUCUAAUCCUCCAUUUUGAUUCCAAACAUCUUAGAUAACCUUUAUUUUCAAAACUAAACCAUUAAUUUUACCUAAAUCCAUGGUUCUAAAUUUUUCAAAAAAUUGAAGCUUUUGAGAACAUGAAAAAAGGGAAAACUCUUAAUUCUUCAAAAUUCGGUUAUGAACUAUCAAAUUGAAGUAAAAUGCCUUCUAGUUAAGUUUGAAUCAAAAAUCACUUUGAAAACACAAGUUUACUCAAGAUUUUGAAAUCUAUCAUUAUUGAAUCAAAACAUACAUUAAAAACAUCAAACCCAAAUAUACCCGUUUAAAACUCGAUUUGAAUUAACACUUUUUAUUUGUCAGAAUAUUACCUUUAUUUGAUGAAAACGACAAUCUACAACUCAAAUUCGAGAUUUGAACUUAAGAAGAAUAAUGAUGAAAUUGGGGAAGAAAACAUGAUUUUCGUUUGAAAUUGGGGGUUGUUUUGGUGUUUGGAAGGUUAAUAAAUACAAAAGAAUGAAUUGAUUUUGAAAGAAAUCUCUAAUUUUAGGUUUUGGAAAACUUUUGAAUGUUUUGGUGUUUUAAAUAGAAGGGAUAGAUGGUGGUAUACUCCAUGUAGAAGACUAAUUUAAAAAAUUGGGCAAUUUUCCCUUUUGGUCACUCCUAAUUCUUCUAUUUUUCAAAAAUGUCCUAAAUGAAUUAAAAUCCAUUUUUUUUUCAAAUUAGACCUCAAAAUUAAAUUUUCUUUUGUGCUAAAUAAAAAUCUGAUUAUGACACUCACAUACUUAAAUUACUCAUUUACAACCUUAUCUUUCGAUAUCUGACUCAACCUCCGGUAAAAAAAACCCUGAUUCUACUAACCAAAAACUACUAGGCCGGGUUUUAGGAUGUGACACUUAUCGAGUACAGAAGCGGAUCGACCUAGUGGCUUACCAACUUGAACUAGCUCCUGAGUUGGAUCAAAUCCGCAAUGUGUUCCAUGUAUCAAUGUUGCGACGCCAUCAUUCUGAACCUUCCCAUAUCAUUCCCGUUGCAGAGAUCAAACUCUAACCGGACUUAUCUUUUGAGCAAGAACCAAUUAAAAUAAUAAAUAGAGAUGUUAAAACUUUAAGAAAUAAGCAAAUUCCUCUAGUAAAUGCUUUCUAGCAAAAGAAUGGGACCUAAGAAGCAAUAUGGGAAACUGAGGAGUUGAUUCGUCAGCAAUAUCAUCACUUGUUUGGAUAAGGUAAGUUAAAAUUCGAGGAUGAAAUUUUUUUAGGGAAGGAGAUUUGUCACAUCCCAAAAUUAGGCCUAAAAGAAAUAGGAAUUAAAUUUAGAUUUUUAUUUCCUUAAAAGCAUAGGGUAAGAGAAUUAGAGUGCCUUAAAAAUAAUUUGUGUUAAGGAAGUAACAAGAAUGAGCUUGCUGGUUCAGUCAUAAGACCUUAGCUUACCCAUAAGUCCCAAUUUUGAAACCCCUAGUGCACCUUUCAGCUAAAAUAAUUUAUUUUUUUUGUUUUUACCCCAUAAAAGUGCCAAAUUUUCAAAAUAGCCCAACCUAAAACUAUUUUUUACAUUUUGUCCUUAAUUUAAAAAAAGUCCUAAUUCUACAUCAUUCCAGAAAUUUGUGAGUCGACCACCACCUAUAGCCCAAAACACAUUACCUACGUCUGACCAAACCUUCAUCAGAGAUCACCAAAUAUACGAAUAAUUACUCCUUUUUAUGGUCAACGGAUUGAAGGACCCCUUGAACUGUGUAUUUACUUCUCAAUAAUUGAACCCACAUUGCUUCCGUAUUAGAAAGAAUCUGGAAACCCAAUUUUUAAUAAGAAAAUUUUAUUCUGCACAAAUAAGUUCUGAAGGCCAAGGCCUCCAGUCUCAAGAGGACGACAACAAUUUUCCCAAGAAACUAAAGCUGCUUUCUUGGACUGAGAUGUUGAACCCCAAAUGAAGUUACAGGCUAACUUCUCAAUUUUGCUGCAGACAAAGAGAGGAAUGUGAAUGGUACUCAUAAAGUAUUAGACGUAACAUGGGAAUGAAACAAAGGCAUGCCAAGAUAAUUUCCUCUAUUCAUUUUCUAGCCUAAAAAAUGACAGAAUCUACGGAGCAUAUCAUUCAUUUGACUUGCUUGAGUCAAGUUGGCUUCAAAGAAGAGAAUGAGAUCGUCAACGAAAAAUAGAUGAGAAAGUGCAAGACCUCCUCUUGAAAGAAAGAUCAAAAACCAACUUCCACAUCCUAUAGCCUCAUAAAUUAAGUGCCCCAGUCUUUCCAUGCAAAGAACAAACAAUAGGAUAAUGGGUCAACUUGUCUCAAACCGCGCAUCGGACAAAAACUUUCCGUGAUACUACCAUUCCAUAGAAUCUAGAAAGAUGCAGAGGAAACACAGUUCAUAAUCACAGAUACCAAAAAUCUAGGUAGGCCCACUUCCAAAAGUGUGUCUUCCAAAAAAUCCCACUUGAUCCUGUCAUAAGCCUUCUCUAAAUCGAUCUUCAAAGCCAUCCCAUAUUUAUGACAUUUGAAACACCUUAUAGAUUGAAUGGCUUCCUAAGUAACCACAAUAUUAUCUGUAAUAUACCUUCUUGCAACAAAGCUAGCUUGGUUCUGAUUAGUGAGCUUCAUCAUCAAAGGCCUCAGUCUAUUAAAAAUUAUUUUCAUUAUAAUCUUAUAAACCACCGUACAUAGGCUAAUCGGCUUAAACUGAGAAAUCCUCUCCAGCCCUUGAACUUCUGGCAAUAAAGCAAUCAACAUUUUAUUAGUUGUAGGAUCAACAGGCUCACCUCCCAUUCGAGGCACCAACAAUGUCCCAUUUUGCCUGAUAGAAUUUAGCAUGGAAACCAUCAAUUCCCAGAUCCUUCAAGGGUGCCAUGCUAAAAACAGCUUUGUGAAUUUCAUCAUCAUUUAUAGUUAGCUUUAAACAUUCCAUAUCAGCCAUGGAUAUUGAAGGGAACUUACCUUGGCUAGGAAGAGAACCAUUGACCGAAUAUUCAGUUGCAAACAAGUCUCUGAAUUAGUGCACAACAUGAUGUUUCAAGGCAACAUUAUCAAAACACCAUUCAUCAUUUUCAACCUUUAAACCUUUAAUAUUAUUUCUCCUUCAUCUUGCCAGAGAACGACCAUGGAAAUAACUUGUAUUUCUGCUUCCAUGUGAAAGCCAAUUGAAUUUAGAUUUUUGGAACCAUAGUAGUUCCUCAUGGUACAAAAUUUAUUCAACCUCUUGUCUUAAUUGUAAUUCAAGUUAUCAAAAGUGCGCCGAUAAUCGUAAAUCAAGAAUUUUUUGCACCCUGUUCAGUUUCAAGAUAUGGUUCUCUUGCGAAUAGAGCUAUUUUCGUAAACCCGUUUGUUCCAAUCUUGCACCACAUUCUGGAAACAUUCUAAAUUCCUCACAAUACCAUCAUUAAAUCUCCAUGUUUUCCUCACAAGCUCUUUAAACUCCGCAUGAAGUAUCCAGCUAGCUAGACAUCCAAUCGGACGAUAGUCCCGUUAAACAUUCGGCCUUAGAGAGACCAAAAUAGGAUGAUGAUUUCAUUUUAGUCUAUGAAGAUUACGAACAACACAGUUGGUUGCAAAGAAGUCCCAUUCAGUGUUACAAAUUGCCCGAUCAAGACGUUGAGAUAGAUUCCCUCUACUCCAAGUGAAUUACGGACAACUAUAACCUAAAUCCUGAAUCUUAUAGUCAAACAAGAACGACUAAAACCACUUACAACUAAGUCGUGAUUGAGAACCAUUUCCAACCAUUUUCGGCCCAUUUAACACCGAGUUAAAAUCACCAGCAAUUAGCCACGAUUCAAAAAUCGAGUUUGCCAUAACAUCCAAAAUAUACCAGAAAUAUUUCCUCUGACUUUGUUAUGCACUAGCAUAAACUGCAAUGCAAAGGAAACUAGAAGUGUCAUUCUUGCUACAAACCUUCAUAUGAACCAUUUGAGGGUGAAUAGCUAAAAUAUCAAUUGAAACCGUCUCAUUCCAAAGGAUCCAAAAACCACCACUAAAACCAUUAGCUUCAAUCCUACAUGACCGAGCCAUUCCGAUUUGAGAAAUAAUUCAGUCAGCACGCACACCACUCGUUUAGGUUUCAACAUGACACACAAUCUCUGGUUGAAACUCCCUUCGAUACUUAGAAAAAAAAUUAUGAAAGUGCGGAUGACCCGCACCUUGACAAUUCCAAAAAAUGAUUUUUCUAUCCAUAUAUAAAAGGAAAAUAGAGAAACCCAACAGCAACAAUACUGUUAGUAGCUAACCUUGGCAUCAGUUAAAUCUAGUUGACCCAUCGGUUCAUCAUCUUCUGGGUUUUUAGCUAAAAUCUCUGUAGUUGCAUGACCCUGCUCCAACCCAAAAAUUAUACCCUCCAUAGCUGCCACUAAAUCCACCGUAUCUAUUGGUGAUUUACUCAACUCAUCAGGCGGUUUACGGUGUUAUGAAUCCCCUUCGGCUGGUAAUAGAAUUGGCGGCCCUUGGAACUCACUGUUGGAAGCUACUCCAAAUCGAAAACCCCCUUUUCAGUAUUCGAAUCCAUGCCCAAAAUUUCCUUGCACAAACCCUUGUUUUCUUUUUCACUGCGUACUUCCUGAAAUGUUUGAUGCCUUUAAUUAUCAAGCUUGGCUAUUAAGGAUACUAGGUGAAAUCCCACAAUUUGGUCUGCCCCAACAGAUUUGGGGUUAAACGAUUCAAUAGCCUCUGCAGGUCGCAAAUGCAUUCUAUUUGAAGCCUCCACAUUAUCACUAAUGAGUUUCAAAACUUUCAGGCCCACUUUGGACACAUUUCCAUGAAUAACACCAUUACCAUUAGCAUUCAGUUUAUUCUUCCUUAGGCCAGCAAUUCGUUUUGUGAGAUCCACUAGAUUUCCACUCUCAUGGACAUUUAAUUCCUAUGUCGGUUUGUCAACAAUAUUCAAAUAUUCAUCACCAAUAACCAGAUUUUUCUCCAAAAUAGCAGAGCGUGAUUGAUCUAGAAUCACUCAUUGACCUACGCUCCUUGUCUCUUUGCUACUCCAGCCUCUCCCCCUUUGCCGACGCUCUACCAACUUCCGUAGACCAAAGUCCUCUUCCUCAACCCUUUUUUGAAGUUCUAAUUUCUCAUCAACCACAGAAGCACUAUUGUUACCACCAUUGGACGAAGGAGAAUUCAUACGCACACAACCUUUAGCACAAUGACCAUAGAGACCAAAGUUGAAACAAACGUUAGGCAAAUAUUCAUAUUCCACACGCUGUGUUCGACCAUUUAUCUUCACUUUGGGAGCCAACAAUUUCUUAAGAUCAACACAAACAACUAAGCGCACAAACUUACCCCUCUUGGAAAAGUCUGUGUGAGUGUCAAGUUUUAUGACUGGACCAAUAGCUUGCCCGAUAGCACGCGGUAAGAAGUUAAAAUAGUAGCCUUCUGGAAGACCACGCAAUCUUAUCCAAACUGCCUGAACAUCGAUUCCAGUAUCAGUGGUAGAGAAGUCUGAUGACCAAGGGUGCAUUGUUAAAUACUAACCAUAGACAACCCACAACCGUCCUGCCAAUACUCGAUUAUAGUCCUUCUCAUUGUGAAAACGAACCUAGUAAAAAUCAUUCUCCAAGUCCAUCAACUAGAUAUGAUUCAUCGGUUUCCACAAAAUAUUAAUCUUAUUAAGCAUAGCAUGAAAGCCAAUUCUGCGACCCAAGAGUUUAACAAUUACAGUUUUCGAUAUCUUCCAUUCUAUAAACUUAUGAACUCAAUCAGAAAAAGUGAUCGAUGGUAUCCAUCUACCACUAUUGGGAAUUAUCCAUAUUUAUGGAAAAUCAAAGAUAUGGGUAUCAAAUAAUGAAAAGUCAAAGAUAUGGGUAUCAAAUAUUGGAAAGUCAAAGAUAUGGGUAUCGAGAUAUUGGCAUAAUAAAAUCUAAGAUAUUUGCAAUAUAUGGUCCCUAAAUUGUAAAGUGACUUUGCAAGUUGAUCCCUGAACCUCAACUAUAAAUAGGCAUAACCAUCUCUCAUUCUGUAUCUCAAACUUGCCAUUCUCUACUUAAGGCAUUGUUUUCUCUCUCUCUUUGUAAAUUCUCACUUGUAUUUUGGAGUGAAAUAUAUUUGGUAGUGCCCGAGGACAUAGGCAAAAUUUGCUGAACCUCGUUAAAUUCUUGUGUUCUUUAUUGUAUUAUUCUGCAUGAAUUGUGUGUGUGAUUGUAGUGAUUUAUUGUGCUAUUAAAUUACGUUUGAGGGAUAUUCUGGCUAGGAAAGACCUGGUACUUAAGCGAUCCUUGCGAUCCACCUCUCUUUCCUGGGAAUUGAACUUAGUGUGAUUUUUUAGUACAAUAAUUUUACUCUUUUACACGCUUCCGCACAACAAUUGGUAUCAGAGCUAGGUUCGUACUUGGGGAAUACGAUCGUUCACGGCACUGUUCACGUACUAUAGUUGGGAUUGAGGAGAAAAAAAUGGAAAAGUCAUCGUCAAAGACUACUGUGACCAAUGCGAAAUUUGAAGUAGAGAAAUUUGAUGGUACCAAUAAUUUUGGUAUGUGGCAAUGUGAGAUCCUGGAUGUCUUAUGUCAGCAAGAGCUGGAUAUAGCCCUUGAAGAAAAACCUGACAAGAUGGAUGACAAGGAGUGGGCCAAGAUCAAUAGACAGGCAUGUGGAACAAUUCGCCUAUGUUUGGCCAAAGAGCAGAAGUACUCUGUCAUGAGGGAGACAUCAGCGAAGAAGUUGUGGGAUACACUGGAAGAAAAGUUUCUAACAAAAAGUCUUGAAAAUAGGCUUUAUAUGAAAAAGAAACUUUAUCGAUUCACGUAUGCACCCGGUAUGUCGAUGAAUGACCAUGUGAACUCAUUCAAUAAAAUUUUAGCAGACUUGCUAAUUUUGGAUGAGAAAUUUGAAGAUGAAGACAAGGCAUUACUGUUGUUGAAUUCUCUUCCUGAUGAAUAUGAUCAUCUUACCACCACAUUGCUUCAUGGGAAGGAUACAAUCACAUUUGAUGCAGUCUGUAGUGCGUUGUAUAGAUCUGAGACUCGAAAGAAAGAUAAAAAAGAUCACAGAGAUACAACUACAGAAGUCUUAACAGUAAGAAGUCGUUCGCGCAGCAACAAAUCUGGUAGAAGGGGAAAGUCCAAAGGGAGACCCGCCAAAGAUGAAUGUGCCUUUUGCCGUGAAAAAGGGCAUUGGAAAAAGAAUUGUCCUAAGCUACAAAAGGGCAAGGCUAUUUCUAAUGCAUGUGUAGCGGAGCAUGAUGAGGAGUCAGACUUUAGCUUGGUUGGCAUGGCAAUGGCAUGUCAAACGGAUGAGUGGAUUUUGGAUUCAGGAUGUACUUACCAUAUGUGUCCUAAUAAGGACUGGUUUUCUAGUCUUAAAGAGCUAGAAGGUGGAAUUGUUCUUAUGGGAAAUGAUAGUGCUUGUAAGACAAUGGGAGUAGGUACAGUCCAAUUGAAGAAUCACGAUGGCUCAAUCCAAGUCUUGACAGAUGUUCGCUACGUACCUAGCCUGAAGAAAAAUCUCAUCUCAUUAGGUGCCCUAGAAUCUAAAGGGCUCACAAUCACUUUGAGAGAUGGAUUACUAAAAGUAGUAGCUGGGCAACUGACGGUGAUGAAAGGCACAAGAAGAAAUAACUUGUAUUUUUUAAAUGAAAGUACAGUUAUUGGAUCAACAUCAACAGUUUCUACAAAAGAUGUAGAUUCAGAGGCUACCAGAUUAUGGCAUAUGCGAUUGGGACAUGCUGGUGAAAAAGCUUUGCAGAAAUUGGUGAAGCAAGGCUUAUUGAAAGGUGCAAAUUCUUACAAAAUGGAAUUCUGUGAACAUUGUGUUCUGGGCAAGCAAAAGAGGGUAAAAUUUGGUCCAGCAAUUCACAAUACGAAAGGAAUUCUGGACUACGUUCACAGUGAUGUGCGGGGACCUACCAAAGUAGCUUCUUUGGGAGGUAUGCACUAUUUUGUUACUUUUUUUGAUGAUUAUUCAAGAAAAGUAUGGGUGCAUCUAAUGAAAAGAAAAAGUGAAGUUUCGGAUGCAUUUCUGAAAUGGAAGAAGAUGGUGGAGACUCAGACUGGUCGAAAGGUCAAAUGACUUCGAUCAGAUAAUGGUACUGAGUACAAAAACGAUCCAUUUCUACAAGUAUGCCAAGAUGAAGGCAUUGUGCGACACUUCACUGUUCGGGAUACACCACAGCAAAAUGGGGUGGCAGAACGAAUGAAUCGAACUAUACUGGAGAAAGUUCGAUGUAUGUUGUCCAAUGCUGGAUUGGGCAAAGAAUUUUGGGCUGAGGCAGUUACAUAUGCGUGCCAUCUAAUUAACCGUUUGCCAUCAGCUGCAAUAAAUGGAAAAACUCCUAUGGAGAUGUGGACUGGUAAAUCUGCUACUGAUUAUGAUUCUUUGCAUGUAUUUGGUUCCACUGCAUAUUAUCAUGUAAAAGAAUCUAAGUUAGACCCAAGAGCAAAGAAAGCAUUAUUCUUGGGUAUAACUGAUGGAGUAAAAGGAUAUCGUCUCUGGUGUCCUGAUACAAGGAAGAUUGUUUUCAGUAGAGAUGUGACUUUUGAUGAAUCAACCAUGUUGAAGUACAAGGAUUCACAAAAGGAUGACAAAACCAGUAGUACUUUGCAGCAGGUGGAGCUUGAAAAGGUUAACGAUGAUCCAGCUAAUAUUGAAGGGACAAAUGAUGAAGAGGUUCCUACCCAAGAAUCUCUACAGCAACAAGAUUCAAUUGCAAAUAGAAGGCCAAGAAGAGAGAUUCGUAAGCCUGCUCGCUUUGAUGAUAUAGUGGCCUAUGCACUUCCAAUUACAGAUGAUGAUGUUCCUUCUACUUACACAGAAGUAAUAAGUAACCCUGAUGGUGUAAAGUGGAAGCAAGCAAUAAAUGAAGAAAUGCAGUCUCUUCAUAAAAAUAAGACCUGGGAGUUGGUGACACUACCCAAGGGAAAGAAGGCAAUUGGAUGCAAAUGGGUAUAUGCAAAGAAGGAAGGAUUUCCUGAUAAAAAUGAAAUUCGAUACAAGGCUAGAUUAGUAGCAAAGGGUUACGCUCAGAAAGAAGGAAUAGACUACAAUGAAGUGUUUUCUCCAGUUGUGAAGCAUUCGUCUAUUCGGAUUUUGCUAGCCUUGGUUGCGUAAUAUGAUCUUGAACUAGUUCAGCUUGAUGUGAAGACCGUAUUUUUACACGGUGAUUUGGAAGAGAAAAUCUAUAUGACUCAGCUAGAUGGAUUCAAGGUUGAUGGAAAAGAAAAUUGGGUUUGCAAACUGACAAAGUCGCUUUAUGGAUUGAAGUAAUCUCCGAGGCAGUGGUACAAGCGAUUUGAUCAGUUCAUGAAAGGGCAAAGGUACACAAGAAGUAAAUUUGAUCAUUGCGUGUAUUUUCAGAAGCUACAAGAAGGAACUUUCAUAUACUUGCUCUUAUAUGUUGAUGAUAUGCUAAUAGCAUCUAAGAGCAAAGUUGAGAUUGAAAGAUUGAAGACUCAACUCAAUCUCGAGUUUGAGAUGAAAGAUCUAGGAGAAGCUAAAAAGAUUCUCGGCAUGGAAAUAUGGAGAGAUAGAGCUCAUGAUAGAGUUAGCUUGUCUCAGAAGCAGUAUUUGAAAAAGGUACUACAGCAGUUUGGCAUGAACGAGCAGACAAAACCUGUAAGUACCCCGUUGGCUUCUCAUUUCAAGCUUUCUGCACAACUAUCUCCUUCGACGAAUACGAAACGAGAAUACAUGUUGCAAGUUCCGUAUUCUAAUGCAGUAGGUAGUUUGAUGUAUGCAAUGGUGUGUACAAGACCCGACAUUUCACAGGCAGUUAGUAUAGUGAGCAGGUAUAUGCAUAAUCCUGGAAAAGGACAUUGGCAAGCUGUGAAAUGGAUUCUACGGUAUAUUCAUAAGACCAUGGAUAUUGGAUUACUGUUCAAGCAGGAUACUACACUUGGUAAAGGUGUUGUUGGGUACGUUGAUUCUGAUUAUGCCGGUGAUUUGGACAAACGAAGAUCAACCACUGGUUAUGUGUUUACUCUUGCUGGAGGACCAAUAAGUUGGAAGUCUACACUGCAGUCUACAGUUACGUUGUCAACCACAGAAGCUGAAUACAUGGCUGUAACAGAGGCUGUAAAGGAAGCUAUUUGGUUACAAGGUAUGGUUAAAACCUUGGGAUUGGUCCAGGAGCAUAUUAAUGUGUAUUGUGAUAGUCAAAGUGCUAUUCAUUUAGCAAAGAAUCAAGUCUAUCAUGCACGUACAAAGCAUAUCGAUGUACGUUUCCACUUUGUGCGGGAAAUUAUUGAUGAGGGGAAAAUUCACCUUCAGAAGAUUAAGACUGCAGAUAAUCCCGCAGAUAUGAUGACCAAGGUGGUAACAACAAUCAAGUUCGAACAUUGUUUGAACUUGAUCAAUAUUCUGCAUGUUUAACAGUUGAAGAAGGCACUAUCAAGUGUUGUUGACAAAGGCAGAGAGAAUUGUGUGAAGAUAAGAUUACUCGAAUCAAAUCUUCAAGGUGGAGAUUAUUGGGAAUUAUCCAUAUUUAUGGAAAAUCAAAGAUAUGGGUAUCAAAUAAUGGAAAGUCAAAGAUAUGGGUAUCAAAUAUUGGAAAGUCAAAGAUAUGGGUAUCAAAUAUUGGAAAGUCAAAGAUAUGGGUAUCGAGAUAUUGACAUAAUAAAAUCUGAGAUAUUUGCAAUAUAUGGUCCCUAAAUUGUAAAGUGACUUUGCAAGUUGAUCCCUGAACCUCAACUAUAAAUAGGCAUAACCAUCUCUCAUUCUGUAUCUCAAACUUGCCAUUCUCUACUUAAGGCAUUAUUUUCUCUCUCUGUCUUUGUAAAUUCUCACUUGUAUUUUGGAGUGAAAUAUAUUUGGUAGUGCCCGAGGACGUAGGCAAAAUUUGCUGAACCUCGUUAAAUUCUUGUGUUCUUUAUUGUAUUAUUCUGCAUGAAUUGUGUGUGUGAUUGUAGUGAUUUAUUGUGCUAUUAAAUUACGAUUGAGGGAUAUUCUGGCUAGGAAAGACCUGGUACUUAAGCGAUCCUUGCGAUCCACCUCUCUUUCCUGGGAAUUGAACUUAGUGUGAUUUUUUAGUACAAUAAUUUUACUCUUUUACACGCUUCCGCACAACAACCACAUCCGUUAUCACAUCCCCCUCCUGCAAUUCAAAAACCUCUUCUAUCAUAUUUGUUUGGUCCGGAUUCUGAGCCAUACCUAACAACUUGGCAUUGUAUGAAGCCUUUGCCAAACUGAGAUCUAGAAUCUGCUGUCCAUUCUCAUCGACCAUGGGAUCAUCUGACUCCGUAGAAACCUCUGAUCUCCUACAAACUUUCUUUGUUGCUCUUCCGACACUGUUGUUUGAAUUAUCAGGUUUUCCGGCCAUUAUGACCUCCAUUCAAUUUUUUUUGGUAGACUCCCUUGUAACUUUUUAAUUUAAUUAGUAUUGGUAUGUUACUAAUAUAAAACUAAUUAAAAUUAUUUUUCUUUAAUACUAAAUAUUUAUUAAGUAACAGAACUUAUAACUUACUAUUCUGGAAACUUAGAAUUUAGGAUCUCAACUUUUGUCAAUUAUGCAACAUUUCAUUGACAUUAUUUUAUGCCCUUUAUUGUAUAUACACACUCGUUUUUUCUUUUGUCCAUGGUUUAGGUAAUAAGAAAGCUCAUUUUCUUAGUUUAAUUGAAUCUUGAAUGCUCUAUACUUUGAUUUUAUUAUUUGCAUGUAAUUGAAGAUGUUAUACUCGAUGUUUUUGACGGUUUAAUUUAAUAAAAUUGAAGUAUACAUUAUAUAUAAUAAAAAAUAUCAGAUCCAACGUGUAUUUUUAUGCUUUAUAUUUGUAACUACUAAGUUGGAAAUUCUCAAAAUUCCAAACCCUACAAUUUUCAAAGACCAAGAAAAAUAUUUAUAUUAUCUCAAAUAAUGGAUAACAUUCAAUACAAUGAGCUAUGGAUGGAUAAUAAAAUAAGGCAAACAAGUACAAAUUUAUAAUAGGGAUAUAAAGCUAUUAGUUUUACAUAAAUUUUUAAUUUUUCUAUAAUUAAUAUUUUAAUAAUAUUAUAUUUUAUAUUGUAUUCAUGUAGAUUAUGAACGUUAAGUUUUAAGUUAUUAAAAAUGAAUAUAUCUUCAUUGUAACAUAUUUUUAACUAUUAAAUAUAUAUAACACUCUAAAAUAGAGAUUAGAAGUUUUAGGGAUAUUUUAGGGAUUUUAGUCUUACAGUGUUCGAAAUUUUGCAACAUGGUUUAUCGGUAAUGUUUCUGACUAUGGUUUUUAGAAAAUUAAAUCAAUUUUUGAAAAUGACUUUUAAACACCUUUAAUUUUGAAAAAAUGACUAAUUUAUAAAAGAUUCAGAACUUAGAGUUUUUAAGAGGCAAUUAACCAUAUUUUAAAAUCCAAUCUAAAAUCCCCCAUUUAUAGUUUUAUUUUCACGUUAGUCUUCUUCUCCUCUCAUACUUGUGCCGCCUAUAGUUCCCCCAACACUCCCAAUCGAUUUUAAAUUCCAAAUUCUAAUUCCGUUUGAUUUCUAUCAUCUCUUAAGUUAUAAAUCUCCAUAGAAGUUAAGAAAAACACUAAAAAACACCAUAGUUUUCUCCAUUGUCAAACUUUCGAGUUUUUCAAAUUUUUGAUUAAAGGCUCAGUUUUUCAUAGGGCGUUAAGGUAACGGUUCAACUCCUAAAUAGUUUUAAAUGUUAUUUAGUCUUUAAAAUUAAGUUUUUAGCCAUUAAAUUGCAUGUUUUGAAUAAAUACUGAAAAUUACCUCAUUAAUGGUGGAUUUAGAGAUUCUAAGUAAAAACAUGGUUUCAAAGUAUUUUUUCAAUUAGUUUUGAUGUAAUUAGAAGGUUUCUAAACUUACUUUGACGUUUCGUUAAAGAAUUCUUGAGUUUUAAUGAUUUUUUAGAAAAUAGCCAUAAAACAUGUCGAAAAAGUCGAUACUAUGAAUUGAGUAUUUUAUUAUAGUUUAAAGGUUAGGAAUUAGUCAUAGGUGAAUUAUAAGAUGAACGAAGUUGGUUUUAGGCGAAAAGAUUGAGUAUAGACAGAGAUAUUUGAGUUUUAAGUUGGCAAUGUUAAAGGUUUCAGUUACAUGAGAACUUAGUUUAGGCUUAUGAUUUUGGAUUGCUUGUGGUGAGUUCUUACCUAAUUAUUGAAUGCAUUGUUGUGUGCAUUGUUGUGUUGAACUUCCGGAUUCAAUAGGACCUUCUAUGAGUAGAGAUAAAGGCAAUGAAAAGCUAGUUUGAGCGCUUGGCUUUUCGACGAAAGCGUAAUUAGUGAGUGUUCGGAAUAAUUGCUUGUGGACAUUAUUCAAUGCAUUAUUUGAGAAUUUAGUAGUAGCCUAAACCCCUACUCUAAAUUCUGAGUGUAAGCUUUCUCAUGCCUAUGUUAUCUUGUGAACUAUCUGCUUAUGUGCUUGUGAAUAUGUGAAUUGAGAUGAGAAGCUAUAACAUGCAAUAUGUGAGUAUGAUAACCGUUGUGAAAGUGCAAAUGUGUUCAUGCUAUGUAUAUGUUAAAUGUUAGUGAUAGUGUUUUGCUAAAGAUGCAAAUAUGCAGUGAUAGUGCACGGAUAAUCGGUAACUGAUAUGUGUCUGAUUUCAAAUAUUUUGGCCUUAUGAUCUUGAAACCGUUAGAUAUAGUUGGCAUGUCAUAGGAUUGUGAGUACUCACCUAUAUGUACAAUUAUUUUGGGCGUUAAGGCCCUAGGACAUGUUGGAGGGAUAAGGGAAUGUGAGCUAAACUCCAUUCAACGAGACAUGUGAGGGGAAAUAAAGAGAGUGUUAGUUUUAUGCUUCACUUUUGGGAUAUGUUUGACUCUAUGAGUCUAUGUGGUGUGCUGGAGAUCCAUGUAUCCAAUGAGUGAUGGUAGAGCUCACUUUUAUGUUUCAUAGCUCAAGUGUCAAAUUAUCUUAAAUUAUGAAUAUGUGUGUAUUGUGAUAUGUGUUUAUAUGACAUGUGACCAUUAUGCAAUUUAUCUAUAACAAGUUUAUAAGUAUAGCGAUAUAUGCUUGAAUGUUAUGUGAUUAUACAAGAAUUGUGUUAUAUGCUUAAAUGUUAUGUGAUUAUAUGUGUGAUGUGAUAUAUGCUUAAACGUGAAUAUGUUUACCAUGUAAAAGAACUAGUAAUAAUGCACGAGUAAGUAUAAUAUGACACUAGAGUUGGAACGGUUGAGGUUAUGCUAUAUGGUUGUUUCGUUGAUGCUUGAUGAAUUGUCUGCAUUGGGGUUAUUUUGAGCAUUUACUGAACUUGUUAAGCUCACCCACUCUUUUCAUAAAACCAUUGCGGAGUAGUAGUGUGUCGGUGUGAGAGAUGUGGUUUCCAAGGGGUGAUCCAAGCAAGUCCGUUUCCAUUUUACCGUAGGUGUUAUUGUUAUUUGUUUAUGUUUUGGGAAUAGGGCAAUGUGGUUGACUUUUAAUGAUAUUUGUCAUGGUCUUUUGGAAAUUUCAUAGCUUAAUUACUCUUAGUAUUUUGAGAAUUGAAUCAUAUUAUCUCAUUUAUCGUUUGAACUUAUUUUUGAUAUUUGAGACUACUAUUACGGUCAUUUUGAUGUUUAUUUGAUGAUAAUAUGAUAGCUUGAUGAAUUGGUACAAGUUAGAAUGACUUAUAUGCUUAUGUAUGUUAUAUUUUUCUUAUCUGAAGUAGAGGUAUCGAUAUUCGUGUUGUAAAAUCGAUACCUCUGUGAUUUUGAAAUGUGCAGGAAGCUAGAAUCGUAAAUUGGCAUCGAUACUUGAGGUAGAAAUAUCCAUACUUUGGAAGAGGUACCGAUAAUUUUCGAGGUUUGGGUUUUUAAGUGAGAAACAGUAAGCAGUUUUGGUAUUGAUUUUCUAAGCUGUAUCGAUACCACUUGAGAGAAUUAUUGAUACCUCACCUUCAAUAUCGAUACCUACGUAAUUAGUUUUGAGAUUUUUACUAAAUUGACCUUAUGCAUGUUUAAUUAUUAUUAUAAGACUAUUUGAUGUAUGUUUAGCAUGUAAAAAUGAUGUUAGAGAGUAUGAUUGACUUAAAACCUAUGCGAACACUAAAAUGAAGGACGUUCCAUUAGAAUGAGCUUUUCCUUGUGUAUAACAUGAGAUGGUGGUGUGGCAUCCUAAUAUUCAGGCUCGGUGACUAGGUUGGGUAUAAGGUGUUACAAUAUAUAUCGAUAAAAAUAACUUUAUAAAUAGAUAAUUAUAAAAUUUGAUUCAUAAAAUAAACAUAUCAAAUAUUCAUAAAUAUCCUAAUUGUUGAUUUGAAAUAGAAAGCUGAUGUUUAAAUGGUAUAGUAUUGUGAUAACGGUAGAUUUAUUUGGUUUUGACAACAUAGAAAAUGAGAGGUUAAUUUGAAACAUGACAACCUGCUCAUGUCAUUAAAAUUGUUAAAUAAAUAAAGCAUGGUUAAUAUGUGAUUAUUUUUCUAGUUACCAUAUUGGAAACUAAUCAAAUAGUAUUUAUAAUUGGAUAGAGUCGGUUUCAAUUAAGCUUUAUACCUUUCAAUUAGUUUGAUUUAUUUUAGUUCUCACCAUGUAUGUUAUUAAGGAGAAUAGUUGUUUUUUUAACAUUAAUCUUAUUAUAGGUUCUUAUCAUAUCUGCUCUUUUUGAUACAAUGUCUAAAACUACCCAUAGUCUCUCUCCAACCCUUAAAUAGGAGGAUAAUGCAUUUCAGUGCACUCAAACCCACGUCCUCCUACACUGAAAACAAUGCCACUGUCAAUUGAACUAAGACUCAGUCGACUAUCAAGAAAAAUAGUUUAGACACUCUCCUAAUAAACAAACUUAGUCGAACAUAUCAUCCAAAUUUACAGGGAUAUUUUUUACAUUAUUUGAAUUUAAAAUUAAGAUUUUCUUUAUUAUACAUUUUGAAUUCAAAUUUAGCAAGUCUAUCCUUGUAACCAUUAUAAAUACCAUAAUAACAGUAACUCUUUUAGUAUGUCGCUAAAGUAGACUUCGCUUUUACUUAUGGUAUCAAAUUUUCCAUACACAAUUACACCAUUUUUUUAUCCUUCCCAUGGCUACCCAAUCAAGCUUACUUCCUCAAAUUAUCUUCUUCUUAAAAAAAGCAAUUUAUCUCAUUCCUUUGUGGGCAACAAUCGAUUCAUCACAUUGAUGUCUCCAAGCCUCUCCUUAAAGACCUGAUAAUACUCCAAAUCUCGACUACAUGUUACUUAUGCUUCAGGACCAAAAACUCAAGUUCACACUCUAAAAAAUAUACUCUUUAUGAUUUGUCUCAGGACAAUGAAUUCAUUAUCACCUAUAUGGAUCAUGCCAAGCGACUAUUUGAUCAGCUUGUUGCACUCGAUGUUUGUUUAGAUUAUAGACCAUUUAUCCACAAUAUUGAAGUAAGGUUAACUUUUAUCUCCUUUGAUGAUUUAUUUGGCUUACCCCUUUCGGAAUAAAUACAACAAAAAGGUUUAAAUGACACUCCAUUCUUUUGCCAUUGCCCACUAUACUGCUUGGCAAAAUGUUGCUGGUGAUACACAAGGUAAAAGCUACGGAAAUAGACGUGGGGGGUUAUUAGUCCAAUUAUGACCAUGGGCAUUCAACUCCCCUAAUAUUAAAACUUUAAUUCUUACUUGUUACAAUAGUUAAAGUCGCAGGCAUACCUCCAAACAAUGUCUAAGCCCUAAAUUUAUUAACUACACUAGUUACUACUCCAAAUUGACAGCCAAAUACACCUCAUCGCUUGCUCCAUCGACCAAAUUGUCACAUUCCAAAAAUCGGGUUAGUGGAUCGAAUACUGGAAUUAGGUUCGUAUUAAUAAUUUGGUAAAAAUAUUGAAGUAAUAAACAUGAUUAAGAUUUAGGUAGGGAAAUUAAAAUUAAGCGUUCGAUUAUUAAUUAAUUUAAAACAGAUUUUGAAUAUGAAGUCGGUUUUGAAAAUAAUUGAUGAAAUGAGUUUUUAAUUAAAUUUGGACUGGUUUGAAAAUAUGUGGAAAUCUAAAGUGGUUAAAAGGGUAAUUGCCCAAUUUUUGAAAAAUGGUUGGCUAUUUAAACACCCAACCGUCACUUUCCCUCUUUUAUCUCUUCCAUUUGAAAUCUCUCUAAAAAUCUCAAUCUAAGUUUUCCUUUCAAAUUAGCCAAACAAGUCAAACUCUCUAACCUCCCAAACACCAAAAUAACCUCCAAUUUCAAAGAAAAAACUAUGAUUUAUCCAACAAUUUUGCCAUUGUUCUUCUUACGUUCAUCCACAAAUUAGAUUCAUAGUUUAUUAUUUUUAACAAAUUGAGGCAACAUUCUAACCUUUUAUGAUCAAACAAAGCAUGUUGUUAAUUCAAUUUGAGUUUUACUUGAUUGUAUGGAGAUUUCAAUAGAUCUAACGUUUUUAAACCAAACUUUGAUUCAAAAAUGGUGAAUCCCGAAAUCAUAAGUAAACCUACUAUUUUAAAGUGAUUUUUGACUCAUUUUGAACUAAUGAGAAGGUGUUUCAACUCAAUUUAAUUGAUUUUUAAUGAAUAUUUAAGAAUCAAACGUUUUCCCUCUUUUAAAAGUUCAUGAGAGCUUGAUUUUUCGGAAAAGUUAAAUUUGACUAGUUAGAUGAAAUUGGCAGCUUAAAUCUAUAACUAAAUCAUAUUUAGGAUGUUUGAAAUUAGAUUUUAGGUUUAGAAAUGAAGAUUUGGCAAGAAAUCUCUUAUUUCGGCAAAAACUAGUUAAUUUUCAGUAGUAAUAAGAAAGUGUGUAGGUCAAUGAUUUUUCUAUGGUUUGGAUGUGAAUAAGGUUGUAAUUAAUGAGUGUGCAAUUUUUUUAUUAUGUAUGCAAAGUUCCAGAUCAAUCGGGAGCUUCUACAAGCAAGGCAAAGGGCAAAGAGAAGUUUACCUAGCCUUUGAUGUUUGAUCGAAAGCAAUCUGAUGAGUGACCAGAAUUGCUGCUUCUAGGCACAAUUCAAAGCAUUAUUAAGGAGCUUAGGUUAGCCUAAACACUUAUCCUAAGUUCUGAGUGUAAGUAUCCUUAUUCGAUCUAUUAUCAUUAUGCAAAUCAAGUAUAUGAGAUGUGAUAUGCUAUGAGAACUAUGAUGGAAAAAGUUUAAGGGGAAAACUAGAGUUUUAAAAAAUUUUCCAAAACAAGAACUUGGUUGUGAUAUCUAAAGUAACAAACACUUAAUCAAAAUUGUACCUUUUCGAUUCGUCUAGGAUGAACGCUUCGACCGAAUAGUCUUCUCUGCUAUCUUGAAGCUCAUGUCUGCCGAGUAUGGGCUCGUUUCCAAUUAGAAAAUUUUCCACAAAAUUACCAAUGGGGUAAUUUCGCAAUUUCUCUAAAAUUCUAGGUCAAGUUGUAAAUAAGAAAAUUAUCUCUAGAAAUCUUCUAAAAUAAUUUCUUCAGAGAAUUUUCUCUCUAUAACUUUCUCUUGAAUUCAAGUCUGUGAAAAGUAAUGAGCCAUAGCUCUUUUUAUAUAAUGAGAGUUUAGAGAGUUUAACUAUGAUUAAACUUAAUCACUUUACUAAUAAAUUAAUCUAAUACUUAUCAAGAUAAAUAUUAGAUUAAAUUUAAUAUAAAAAUAUCACUUUAAUAUAAAAUUAAUAAAAUAAUAUUACGAUACGUAUUAAAUUUAAUUUAAUAUCAAAUAUAUUAAAAUAAUAUUAUUUUUGGAAUAGUUAACUUGAAAUCAAUUGUCUGAUAGAGUCCCACUAGGAGUGUGAUUUCUACACUACUCAACUGCCGAAGGACCACCUGCUGGCCACGGUGGUGCCAUCGCAAGUGCGACACCUUCACAACACCCCAAGUCGGUUUGGCUAUUGUUGGUUCAGUUCGGGCCAAUGACUACCUGACUGGUCCGAACCAGCCACCAGUUGGACCAUCGACCCGAUUCAACUAGUUUCUUGGUCUCGAUCUUGAUUUUGAGUUCUCGGGCUCAAUUUUUGAUCUCAGGUCCAAUUUUCAAGUUUAAUUACUCAUUGGGCCAAUUGUCUUACUUGAAUUAAUUUCAAAAAAUAUCAUAUUUAUUUUAAUUAAUUUGAUUAAUUAAUUUUACUUGAUCAAAAUUAAUUAUCCCAAAAAUCACUUAGAUUUUAUAAAUUAUUUUUUCAAGAAAAUUCUUUAAUCAAAUUCUCUAGUUGAACAAUUCUCACGAUUGCCUAAUUUAAUUUCAUAUCGAAUAAAUCGACUCAAUUAAAUUAUUUCCAAAGUUGUAAAAUUUUAUUUUGAUUCAAAUGCAAUUCGAUCGAACUUUUUUUGAGCUAGCGAAAAGACCAAUUAGACAUACAUAAUUAGGCUCUAGUGAUUGCAAUUAUGUCCAGAAGUAUCGUUUUAAUAAUUCACAUUUACUUAAUAAUUGAUUCAAUCCACAAGAAGUACCAUGAUUGAAAACUCCUUAUCGUACUCUCUUUAUGAAAGCAAUUCAUCCAACAUCUUUGUUCAAUGACCUUGUCAGGUUUGUGUUACCCCCAUAUGAUAUCUUUGAUUUUUUUAGUUAAAUUCAUUCACUCAAUACAUUCCUAUUUUAUCUCAUUGUCACCAUUGUGUCUUCUUAAUGAUUAAUAUGAUCACUGCCAACAAAUGACUGUGAUAAAUUGCUUGUUCAAGAACAAGCAACCCGUGGCCACAUUUCAUAUUUAUCAAUCCACACAAUGCCAAUGAGAGGAUAUUGUCAACUCUGUAAUCGAGUUAUGAAUUUCAUUUAUGACAUAUACAAGUUAUGUACCCAACAUACCGGAUAUGGUCUCGAUCAUAUUUAAAGCAUAAGCCUCCACUUAUAUCAAAACACAUGAGUUACAUAUGCAUAGUCAAUGACUAAUUCAGGAUUUAAGUAAAUCACAUCAUGAACGUCACAAGUGAAUUAAUUCACAAAUGGAUUCAGAAUUAAUUCAACUUAGGUCUAGCCUAAUGUAUCAUUCUUCCAAUGAAUACAUCUAUGUCUCUACCCGAGGAGUCAACUGCUCCGAUAGCCAAGCCUAGCCAUCUCCCCGAUUGAAAUUUUAGAUCACAUAAUAAUCCUUUUAAGUUUUUGAAUCAAAUGCUCACUUUGAUUUUUUUACGAGAUUACAGACUCAUUUAGAUUAUCUAUUGAAGUAAGUUGUCUUUCUUGCAAUAUAAACAUUCUUACAAUUCCACUUAUCAUCAGUUUGAACUUAGACAAUAAAUGAGCUAACAUUUUCUUGUCAUAAUUUCACUAUGCAUGCAAAACAUGAAAGCCAAAAACACAAAAGACAUAAUAGUGAAAUGUGAAAUUAACUUUAUUUAUUUAUUCAUCAUUCAAAUACAUAAAAAAUAAUUACAUGUUUACUACAAUAUGGUCACAUUUUUCAACAAAUUAUCAUGAAAUUUUAAUGAAAAUGUUAUGUGAUUAUGACUGAAUAUGAUAUGAGCUUGUUGGUAUUUAUGCACAAAAUAUGAGAUCAAUCUGAUAUGGCUCUUUGAGCAUUAUGUAAGCACUUGAAAAUGCCUUAUAUGAGAUUUGAUUAAGUGAUAUGGAUAUGUGUUAUACGAUAUGUGAAACUGUGCAUAAAACAAUAAGUACAUGUGUGUUUAAAUGGAUAUGUUAAACUUGUGAUCUUUUGGAACCAUUGGAUAUCAUUGCAAUGCCAUAGAAUUGUGAGUACUCACCAUUAUUUGCUUAUGUAUUUGGGCAUUAAGGCCCCAAGAUUGGUUUGGAGAGAUAAGGAAAUGUUAAGCUUAGCUCCAUUAAAUAGGACUGGUUGAUGUUUGGAGAGUGUUAGCUUCAUUCUACACUUUUAUGGGACUAGUACAGACUUUAUGAGUCAUUUGUUGUGUUGGGAGAUCCGCUUAUCCAAUGCAUAUAUGUUUAUACAUGUUUCUUAUAAAUGUGAUAUCAAUGUGAUUGAUAGGAGUUAUGCUUAAUGCUAUCCAUGAGUGAAUGAUAUAGUAUACUUUCUUAUAACCUUGAUAUUGUGGGUUAUUUGUGGCCAUUUUGAGCACUCACCGAGCUUGUAAAAGCUCACACUUUUAUGUAUAUUUUACAGAUAAAUAUUUGGUUUUUUGGAGGAGAAUUGAGUCAUCCAAGUGAUCCAAAGCAAGGCCAAACUUUUUUGAGUAUGUGUUGUGUUUUCUACUUCAAUAAGGAAGGCAAUAUAGGACCUUAAUUGGGGAGUUAGGCUUUGAUAUUUUCUUAGGUUGUGAUGGCCAUUUUAAGGACUGUUUAUAGACUUUUAUAAAUGGCUUUUGGUCAUUGAUUGCUUGAGAAUGUUGAUUUUGAAUAUGCAUGUUAUAAUGGUUUGAGUUGCAUGAAUAAUGAUUCGUAUGCCUAUAGGUGAAUAAUGAUAAAGAUGUUUUUAGUGCAUGUUGGAUAUUGUAGCAAGUUUUAAAUGAAUUAUUGGUAUGAAAUAGACAUUUGGUGCACAUAAAAAUGAUGGUAAUGUAAAAUCGGUAUGCUAAGUAAUUGAUUUAUGAAGUUAGGAAUUGCAUGCUAGCAUAACUACUUACCUUGGAUGUCAAAUUGUGUGUUGGUAAGUUUUGAAGUGUGUGAGCAUACGUAAUACGAUCUAUGUAUGUUAUAUGAUAUGUUAGAUUAGAGAAAUUAGGCUAAGUGCACGAAUUGGUAUGCUUGGAAAUGUGACAAAGUGUCAUAUGUAGUUUUGGGAUGUUUUCUGCAAAAAUCGGAGACGACGUUGGAAUACAUCGUGACGAGGGAUCGACAUCAGGACGAGGAAUGUUACAUGGUCACGACCUGACAUACUGAGUGAUUGAGCCAUGUUUUUAUAGUUUUGCAAUAUAGUCCUAAUUUUUAUGUUAUAUAACUGGAGUCCUUAAAUGCAAUGAAAUGACUUGAAAUUUUUCAUGAUUAAGUCCUCUUUGGUUAAUUUCAUAAUUUUACUUUUGGUUUUAUAGAAAUAUUUUUCAAAUUAUUUUACUAAACUUACGAAUUAAUCUUUAAAUUUUUGUUUUGUAGUUAAAUGGAUACUUCUUAUCGUUUUGAAUUGUUUCUUUUAAAUAUAGUCUACGUUCAAAUGCUUUAAAUUGUAUGUAUGCUUCACUUAUUGAGUUAUGUAUGAUUUGUAUAUUGCAUGAGAAAAGACGAAUUUGUUUAUUGAUGAGAGUAGCACAACAAAAGCAUGAUUUAGAGUUUAUAUGUUUACCCUAGACUAUAUUAUUGAUGUUUAUGCAUUUAAAUUUGUUGCGUGAAUAUUGUGAGGUGUGAACGGUGGUUUUCUGGUGUGUUCGGUGGUUGGUAAGAAAUGUCAUGUAAGUGGCUACUGUGACGUUCUGGAUUCAGGUUGGACCAUCCUGGCCAAGUUUGGGGCACCACACAAACCAUGGAUCAUUAACACUAUGUCACAUCCCAAAAAUCAAGUUAGUAAAUCGAGGGUUAGUGAACUAAAAAUUAGGUUAGGUUAGAUUAUUAAAAUAAAUAAGAAUAAAUAAAAUAAAAUAUUAAAAUAAUUAGAAUUUUAAAAAAUAGGUUAGGAAAUUAAAAUUAGGUGUCCGAGAAAUAAUUUGGUUAAAACAGAUUUUAAAAACGAGAUCGAAUUUGAAAAUAAUUUAGGAAAUGAGUUUUAAUUGAAAACAAUGACUAAUUUGAAAAAGGGAAGAAAUUGGAGGUAGUUAAAAGGGAAAUUGCCCAAUUUUUAAAAAUUAGUUGCCUAUUUAACAACCCCCAUCGUCCGUUCCCUCUCAUUUCUCACCUCAUUCAAAAAUUUCUCAAACAUCAAAUUAAAGCUUUUCUCUCAUAACUGAUUCAUCCUCUUUAAUUUUCUAGCCCUCCAAACACAAGUUUUGUUUUCAAUUUUAAAGAAAACUCGUCUUUUCUCCUUCAAUUUCAUCAUUGUUCUUAGCACGUUUUAGCUCGAGUUUGAUCCUCAACUUUUUUAUUUCUUCAAAUUGAGGUAACACCUGACUUCUUAUGAUCAAACUAACACUUCCUUUGGUUCAAUGUUAUUGCAAAGCCAUUACGGGACGGUUCCAGAUUCUACAAUAAAGUAGAGGUUUGGUUCAUUGGAAAGUUUAAAAUGCUGAAUGGCAAUUACAGCUUCAUUCUGAAAAUCAUUGAAUAGCCAUUCAGGGGAGAAAGUUUCGAAUUGGCUAUUCCAGCCUCUCUAUCGAAUGACACUUCUUUUCCCCUCCGAAAACACCCUUAGACUGAAAUUUCUCAAUAGUUUCACUUUUUUUUCUUUGGCCAUCAAUAAUCUCACGCUCAACCUAAAAAGAAGCAAAUCAAAUUGAAGGCCAAAGGCUCACACUUUGUUUACCACUCCUCUGUAAUCCCAACCCAUCACUGGAAUUGCCUGGUGCUUACCAAGGCCCUGCUUGUUUUGAUGGUAAGGUUUUUUUCUCUCUUGAAUAGAAAAGUAAAUCAAUGACUUAUAGUUGUAUUCAUCAAGGAGUUAUCCAUUAUCUACAUGGCUCAAAAACAAAAUUGAUAAAUUGAAACUUUCAGGUUUCAUUUUCCUUUUCUAGGUUGCCAUCUUAUUUUACUAAAUAUUUGAAAUUUAAAAAGGUUGAAUUUUUUUCUAGGUUCAAAAUGAAGAGCUUUUUCAUUAAGUCAUGGGUUUUUAAUUUGCAGAACUCCCUAUAUUAAAUGGACACAAAAGUUGGGUAAACAAUCACUGAGCAUUUCCAGAGUUGUUGAGAAGUGGGUCUAAGAUUGAAUUCAAUUUAUCAAAAUCUUGAAUUAGAAGUCCAAAGAUACUAAAUUUUUUAGGGUGUAAGAAACCAGUGAAGAAGGCUGGAAAGAACGAGCAUCACUUGUGGAAGAAAAGAGAUUUAGCUGGCUUUGGACAAAAGGCACUCAAUCUUGUUAGAAUUGUAAGUUUAAUUUUCUUAUUUUUUUUUAUAUUGGGUAUAGUUUUUAGUUAUAGUAUGUAUUUAGUAUUUGAAGUUUAAUUUCAAUUUUUAAUAAUGUUUGUGUUGCAUUUGUUUUGUGAUUCCACUAUUACUGUAUUCCCACUAAUUGAAAUCUAUUUUGUACUAAUGUUGUUGGAAUUAUUCUAUUAUUUACUGAGAACCCAUUUUGUUGAAAUUUUAGGAGCCAUUUUAUUUUUUUUCUAUAUAAAUUAGGGCUAUUGUUACUUCUGCAACCAUGGAAGACUUUUGCUACUCAUCAAUAACACCAUUUGCAGCUUGAACAAAACUUCUUCUAUCCUGCGGGUGGCUGCUUAAACCAAACUUGAUUUAUUUUGUGCAUCACUUUUGAUUGCAAUCGAUUGCUUUUUUCCAAGCCUAAUUUAUAUACAGUUUUAGUUGUAAUGAUUCUUAGGUUUGAUUGACUAUAUGAUUAAUUUGGUGCAGCGGAUACAAUAUGCAAAGACAAAGCCAUAUUGUAUCACCAAAAAUUAUGGAAGCUUUGUUCCCAAACAAGAAGAAAAAGAAAGAAUAAAAAUGUGACAACCUGCGUUUUAGUUCUUUGAAUUGAUAUAUGCAUAAUGCAUAGUCUUGAAAAUUUUUCUUUAUUCUUUUCUCAAAGAUUAAAAUUUACUUCUAGAUUCUUCUCACAAGUUACGUGUUUACUGUUCUGUUUAUUCUCAAUCUUUAAUUCAAAGUUUUAUUUAUUUUUCUCAAAAUGUUAAAUAAAUUCUUCUAUCAGAAGGAUCUGUGUCUUGUGCUUUGAAGUGAGCAUUUAGAUUAGGGUCUUUGUAAUUGUAGAAUGCUAGGUUUAACUUGUAACAAUACUAAGACAGUGGGCUUCUUUUUUAUAUAUCAUGUAUGUUUUUUUUUCUGCAGUUUCCAUAACCAAUCAGGAAACUACGGCCCUCAAAAUGUUGAGGGAAAACAGGAGCAGAUAUGACUUGGUUAUUACUAGUGUUAACAUGCCAGACAUGGAUGCCUUUAAGCUUCUUGAACUCGUGGGACUUGAAAUGGACCUACCUGUAAUCAGUAAGUAUUAACCCUUUUUUUUUUCAUUUUAUGGCACUAAAUUAUUCCCAUUUUAUUUUGCUCUUUCCCCUCUAUUUUCGUUUGAAUUAUUUGUGGAAUGAAAGAAAAAAAAUUGGGUGAAGUUUGAUGGUUUUAUAAACCCAUAAUUAUUCUAGAUCUAAAUUUGAUUAGUAGAUUAGAAGUGUUUGAGAAUGAUUUACCAUAUUUUCUUAUUCUUAAUGAAAUUCCAGUGUUGUCAGCUCAUGGCCAUACAAAGCUUGUAAAGAAGGGGAUUACUCAUGGCACUUGUGACUACUUAUUGAAGCCAGUUUGUAUCGAUGAGCUAAAAAACAUAUGGCAACACGUUGUGAGAAAAAAAAAUUGACUUCAAAGAUCACAUUAAUGCACUGAAUCAAGAUAACAAACAAAAAGAUUAGGAUCCCUCAAUCCAAGAAAAGCCUCGAGUUGUUUGGUCUGUAGAGGUGCAUCGGAAGUUUGUUUCAACUGUCAACCAAUUGGUCUUCAUAGUGAGAUUUAUGUUGUUUUGAUUGGAGUCUCUUACUAUGACACAGCAUACCAGGUUCAUUUUUAGUUUUAACAUUCAUUUUUUCUUUAUUUAAAUGAUUUAGAGGAUGUUCCGAAGAAAGUUCUUGACCAUGAAUGUUGAUGGCUCACAAGGGAAAAUGUAACAAGCAAUCUACUAGUUUUAGUAGAGUGUUUUGUUACCAUUUUACUCCUUUUUAGAAUUAGCACAUUGUUAAUGAAGUUAUUGCAACUUCAAUUCAAGCUUUUGUGAAAGUUAGAGUGGGCCAUACACAUGGGAGAAUUGCAUAUACUUGAAGUAUGAACUUUUAUAAAAGUGUGCCGUAUUUAAGCUUACUAUCUUAUGUUGUCCUAUAGAAAUAUAGGCUUUGCAUAGGACUCAACAGUGUUGCUCCAUUAGGCAGUAAAGAUUCGUCUUACUUGCGCAGGGGUCCACUAGACGGCUUUGGAUAUCUUCGCAUAUUGACUAGACCGGGAAAGAUUUCAAGUGCCUUUCUGCCAUAUUAUCAACUAGGUGGAAUGUUUGGGAUUCUUAACUCUUCAAUUGAUUUAAGCCCACGUGGGAUUUAUUCUAGCGUAAUUCAACCUAGACAUUCUCAAACAUCGAACAAUCCUAUCAAUGGUUCUAGGAAGAUCCAACCAGCCGUGGUACCAACAAAUUAGAAUCAAGAUGGAACUUUGUUUCAAGGGAUCCCAACAUCGAUAGAUCUCAAUUAAUCGUCGCAGAACAAGCCAACAAAGGGUUGUGGAGAAUUUAAUCACGUUAAUGAUCUGAACUUCCAAGAUGCCAGAGUGGCAGUUGGUGGCUCGUGUAAUACUCUACCUGUUUCCUCAAGCAACCCUUUGUUGUUACAAUCAAACACACAACAAACAAAACAUAGUGGUGCAUUUGGAAAUCAAUUAUCCCUUAGUACCAACCUUCUUGAUCUUUAUUCUUUCAAGGCAAUGUCAGCAAAUUUGGAGGACUUUAAAGGAGACAUCUCUAAUGUUGGUCUAAAUAAUUAUGUCAUUUUGAAUAUGGAUUACGCAACAAAGCAACAAUGGGGAGAUAGCAGGCAUGAUUAUAAUGGCAAUACGAAUCAUUCAUUCAGUCAAGCGAAUGCCUAAUGACUCGAUCAAUUAAGAAGUCUCUAAUAUGAAUUAUUAGUUAUUUUUCGAAUGUCAUCAAAGUCUUUCUAGAGUGGCAUAACACAAAUUGAUGAUUGUGAUGUGUGCUUGUAAUGUAAUUGUUGGAUGUAAAAUAUAAUUAUUUUUACAAAAAUAAAAACAUAAUGCUUUUAAAAAAAUAAUUAUAUUAAAAAUUUUAUUACAAAAAUAAAAACAUAAUUAAUAAAUUAUAUAUUUUAUUAAAUUAUAUUUAAUAAUAAUUAUAUUAAAAUAUGAUUAAAUUAUUUAUUUUUAUUUUUAUUUUUAUUAAAUUAUAUGUAAUAAUAAUCCAAUUAAAAUUUAAUAACAAUAACAAUAAUCAUCUACUUAAAAUUUUUUUGUUAAGGGUGCUUUGGUCAUUUCAAUUUUUUUCAUAUUCUAUUACAAUCUUUAUUCCAUUCAAGCAAACACAAGAAUACUAUUACAGUUCUAUUCCAUUCCAUUCAACCAAACAAUUGAAUUAUUGAUUACAGCUCGAUUUUGUUACAUCUAUAUUACAGCUCUAUUCUAUUAUAGCUCUAUUACAUUACAACCCUAUUCCAUUCCAGUUAACCAAACGUGGCGUAAGUAUGUUGUUAUUUCAAUUCGAGUUUUAAUUGAUUUAAUCAAUAUUUCACUAGAUCUAAUAAUUUUAAACUGAUUUUUUGCAUGAAAAUGGUAGAUCUCGUAAUAGUAAGAUAAGUUACUAUUUUAAAGUUAUUUUCAACUCAUUUUGAUUUAAUUAAAAUUUUUCUAAACUUAAUUUAACAAAUCCUUAAUGAAUUGGACGUUUUCCCCUAUUUAAUAUUCAUACAAUCUUAAUUUUUUGAAAAAGUUAGAUCUAAGUAAUUUAAUGAAAUUGAUAGUUUAGAUUUGUAAUUAAAUGAUAUUUAGGAAUUAUGAAAACAAAGUUAAGGAUUAGAAACGAGAUUUGAGUGUCGAGACUUCUAUUUUGGCAAAACUAGCUAGUUUUUUUGUAUUAUGAAUGAAAAGCUUAGAUCUGUGAUUCUAGAAUGAUUUAAUUGUGAAUUAUGUUGCUUGUAAUGUAUACGCAUUGUUUUUUAUGUGUAACCAAAGUGCCAAAUCAAUUGGGAGCUUAUACAAGUAAGGACAACGGCAAACAAAAGCUUACUUGAGCUUUUUUCAUGGAAGCAAAUGUUGCAAAGGUGAGUGAACUAGUGUGCUAUAAUUAAUGCUAAAAUCAAAGUGUUAAAUGGGAGCUUAGGUAGCCUAAUCACCUUUCCUAAGUUCUAAGAGUAAGUUUUCUUACUUGAUCUAUGAUACAGUUUUCUUACUUGAUCUAUGAUACUUUGCAAAUAAAUCUUACAUGUAAUGUGAUAUGCUUAAGUGUGUAAUGUGAUUAUAUGUGUUGAGUAUACGUCUGAACAUACCUUAUGAUCAGUUGGUUUUAUGGACACACAUCUAAUAUGAAAGUUUAUGUGGCUCAAUUAGCAAAGUGAUUGCACUUGAAGUGCAUUGCAUGAACAUGUGGCAAGUGUUUGAUCAUGAUAAGCAUGAUAAUUGUAAGUGUGCAUAAACCAAAAAUGAAUGUGUGAUAUGGAUAUAUUAGCCUUGUGAUCUUUUGAAAACAUUGGAUAUAGUUGGCAUGCCAUAAGACUUGAGUAUUCAUAUAUGUGUUUUGAUAUUGGGACAUGUUGGAGAGAUAAGAGAAUGUGAGCUAAGUAUUGAAAAUCAUCCAUAUUUAUAGAAAGUCAAAGAUAUGGGUAUCAGAAAGAUAUAGGUAUAAGAAAGAUAUGGGUAUCAAAAUCUGAUAUUUAAGGCACCAAAAGUGGGAUUGAGAUUUGGCAUAAGAUAAUUGCAAUUUUGAUCCCUGAACCUCAACUAUAAAUAGGCCUAACCAUUUCUCUUCUUUAUUAUCCCAAAUUUUCCAUUCUCUACUUAAGGCAUUGUUUUCUCUCUCUCUCUUUGUAAAUUCUCACUUGUAUUUUGGAGUGAAAUAUAUUUGGUAGUGCUUGAGGACAUAGGCAAAAUUUGCUGAACCUCGUUAAAUUCUUGUGUUAUUUGUUGUAUUAUUCUGCAUGAAUUGUGAGUGUGAUUGUAGUGAUUUAUUGUGCUAUUAAAUUACGAUUGAGGGAUAUUCUGGCUAGGAAAAACCUGGUACUUAAGCGAUCCUUGUGAUCCACCUCUCUUUCCUAGGAAUUGAACUUAGUGUGAUUUUUUAGUACAAUAAUUUUACUCUUUUACACGCUUCCGCACAAUAAUUGGUAUCAUAGCUAGAUUCGUACUUGGGGAAUACGAUCGUUCACGGCACUGUUCACGUACAAUAGUUAGGAUUGAGGAGAAAAAUGGAAAAGGCAUCGUCAUCAGCAAAGACUACUGUGACCAAUACAAAAUUUGAAGUAGAGAAAUUUGAUGGUACUAAUAAUUUUGGUAUGUGGCAAUGUGAGAUCCUGGAUGUCUUAUGUCAGCAAGAGCUAGAUAUAGCCCUUGAGAAAAACCUGACAAGAUGGAUGACAAGGAGUGGGAUAAGAUCAAUAGACAGGCAUGUGGAACAAUUCGCCUAUGUUUGGCCAAAGAGCAGAAGUACUCUGUCAUGAGGGAGACAUUAGCGAAGAAGUUGUAGGAUACACUGGAAGAAAAGUUUCUAACAAAAAGUCUUGAAAAUAGGCUUUAUAUGAAAAAGAAACUUUAUCGAUUCACGUAUGCACCCGGUAUGUCGAUGAAUGACCAUGUGAACUAUUCAAUAAAAUUUUAGCAAACUUGCUAAAUUUGGAUGAGGAAUUUGAAGAUGAAGACAAGGCAUUACUGUUGUUGAAUUCUCUUCCUGAUGAAUAUGAUCAUCUUACCACCACAUUGCUUCAUAGGAAGGAUACAAUCACAUUUGAUGCAGUCUGUAGUGCGUUGUAUAGAUCUGAGACUCGAAAGAAAGAUAAAAAAGAUCACAGUGAUACAAAUACAGAAGUCUUAACAGUAAGAGGUCGUUCGCACAGCAACAAAUCUGGUAGAAGAAGUAAGUCCAAAGGGAGACUUGCAAAAGAUGAAUGUGUUUUUUUUCGUGAGAAAGGGCAUUGGAAAAGGAAUUGUCCUAAGUUACAAAAAGGCAAGGCUAUUUCUAAUGCAUGUGUAGCGGAGCAUGAUGAUGAGUCAGACUUUAGCUUGGUUGGCAUGGCAAUGGCAUGUCAUACAGAUGAGUAGAUUUUGGAUUCGGGGUGUACUUACCAUAUGUGUCCUAAUAAGGACUGGUUUUAUUAGUCUUAAAGAACUAGAAGGUGGAGUUGUUUUUAUGGGCAAUGACAACGCUUGUAAGACAAUGGGAGUAUGUACAAUCCAAUUAACGAAUCACGAUGGCUUAAUUCAAGUCUUGAUAGAUGUUCGCUACAUACCUAGCUUGAAGAAAAAUCUCAUCUCAUUAGGGGUCCUAGAAUCUAAAAGGCUCACAAUCACUUUGAGAGAUGGAUUACUAAAGGUAGUAGCUGGGGUAUUGACGGUGAUGAAAGGCACAAGAAGGAAUAACUUGUACUAUUUAAAUAGAAGUACAGUUAUUGGAUCAACAUCAACAGCUUCUGCGAAAGAUACAGAUUUAGAGGCUACCAGCUUAUGGCAUAUGCGAUUGGGACAUGCUGGUGAAAAAGCUUUGAAGAGUUUGGCGAAGCAAGGCUUGUUGAAAGGUGCAAAUUCUUGUAAAUUGGAAUUCUGUAAACAUUGUGCUCUGGGCAAGAUGACGAGGAUAAAAUUUGGUUCAGCAAUUCACAAUACAAAAGAAAUUCUAGACUACGUUCACAGUGAUGUGUGGGGACCUACUAAAGUGGCUUCUUUGGGAGGUAUGCACUAUUUUUUUACUUUUGUUGAUGAUUAUUCAAGAAGAGUAUGGGUGUAUCUAAUGAAAAGGAAAAAUGAAGUUUUGGAAGCAUUUCUGAAAUGGAAGAAGAUGGUGGAGACCCAGACUAGUCGAAAGGUCAAACGACUUCGAUCAGACAAUGGUACUAAGUACAAGAACGAUCCACUUCUACAAGUAUGUCAAGAUGAGGGCAUUGUGCGACACUUCACUGUUCGAGAUACACCACAACAGAAUGGGGUAUCAGAAUGUAUGAACCAGACUAUACUGGAGAAAGUUCGAUGUAUGUUGUCAAAUGCUGGAUUAGGCAAGAAAUUCUGGGCUGAGGCAGUUACAUAUGCUCGCCAUCUAAUUAACCGGUUGCCAUCAGCUUCAAUAAAUGGAAAAACUCCUAUGGAGAGGUGGGCAGGUAAACCUGCUACUGAUUAUGAUUCUUUACAUGUUUUUGGUUCCACUGCAUAUUAUCAUGUAAAAGAAUCUAAGUUAGACCCAAGAGCAAAGAAAACAUUAUUCAUAGGUAUAACUGGUGGAGUAAAAGGAUACCGUCUCUGGUGUCCUGAUACAAGGAAGAUUGUUUUCAGUAGAAAUGUGACUUUUGAUUAAUCAACCAUGAUGAAGAACAAGGAUUCACAAAAGGAUAACAAAACCAGUGGCACUCUACAGCAGGUGAGCUUGAAAAGGUUAAUAAUGAUCCAGCUAAUAUUGAAGUAACAAAAUGAUGAAGAAUUUUCGACCUAAGAACUUCUACAGCAACAUGAUUCAAUUGCAUAUAGGAGGCCAAGAAGAGAGAUUCGUAUGCCUGCUUGCUUUGAUGAUAUGGUGGCCUAUGCACUUCCAAUUGUAGAUGAUGAUAUUCCUUCUACUUACACAGAAGCAAGAAGUACCCUGAUGGUGUAAAGUGGAAGCAAGCUAUGAAUGAAGAAAUGCAGUCUCUUCAUAAAAAUAGGUCUUGGGAGUUUGUGACACUACCCAAAAGAAAGAAGGCAAUUGGAUACAAAUGGGUAUAUGCAAAGAAGGAAGGAUUUCCUGGUAAAAAUGAAGUUCGAUACAAGGCUAGAUUGGUAGCAAAGGGUUACGCUCAGAAAGAAGGAAUAGACUACAAUGAAGUGUUUUCUCCAGUUGUGAAGCAUUCGUCUAUUCAGAUUUUGCUAGCCUUGGUUGCGCAAUAUGACCUUGAACUAGUUCAGCUCGAUGUGAAGAUUGCAUUUUUACACAGUGAUUUGGAAGAGGAAAUCUAUAUGACUCAGCCAGAUGGAUUCAAGGUUGCUGAUAAAGAAAAUUGGGUUUGCAAACUGACAAAGUCACUUUAUGGAUUGAAACAAUCUCCGCGGCAGUGGCACAAGCGAUUUGAUCAGUUUAUGAAAGGGCAUGUUUAACAGUUGAAGAAAGCACUAUCAAGUGUUGUUGAAAAAUAUAGAGAGAAUUGUAUGAAGAUAAGAUUAGUCGAAUCAAAUCUUCAAGGUAGAGAUUAUUGGAAAUCAUCCAUAUUUAUAGAAAGUCAAAGAUAUAAGUAUCAGAAAGAUAUAGGUAUCAGAAAGAUAUGGGUAUCAAAAUCUGAGAUUUAAGGCACCAAAAGUGGGAUUGAGAUUUGGCAUAAGAUAAUUGCAAUUUUGAUCCCUAAACCUCAACUAUAAAUAGGCCUAACCAUUUCUCUUCUUCAUUAUCCCAAAUUUUCCAUUCUCUACUUAAGGCAUUGUUUUCUCUCUCUCUCUUUUUGUAAAUUCUCACUUGUAUUUUGGAGUGAAAUAUAUUUGGUAGUGCCCGAAGACGUAGGCAAAAUUUGCUGAACCUCGAUAAAUUCUUGCAUUCUUUAUUGUAUUAUUCUGUAUGAAUUGUGAGUGUGAUUGUAGUGAUUUAUUGUGCUAUUAAAUUAUGAUUGAGGGAUAUUCUGGCUAGGAAAGACCUGGUACUUAAGCGAUCCUUGUGAUCCACCUCUCUUUCUUGGGAAUUGAACUUAGUGUGAUUUUUUAGUACAAUAAUUUUACUCUUUUACACACUUCCGUACAACACUAAGCUUCAUUCAAAGGGGCAUGUUUGGUGUAUUAGAUAUUGUUAGCUUAAUGCUCACUUACUUGGGACAUGUUAGACUCUAUGAGUCAUUGGUGUGAUGGAGAUUCGAGUAUCCAAUGUGCUAUAUUUUUAUACAUAUUUCAUAAUCACAAGAUGUCAAUAUAUCAUCAUGAUUAAAUGAUUAAUGGUGAUAAGUGUUAUCGGCUUUCUAGUCUUGUUUUUAACCCUUGAUAUUGUAGUUUAUUAUAGCAUCUUGAGCACUCACUGAGCUUGUUUAAGCUCACACUCUCUUGUGUUUAUUCUUUUGUAGAGAAAUAGCUUGUGUGGAGUUGUGAAGUGAACAAGCUUGUGAUCCUAAGGCAAAGCAACUUGAUUGUAUAUGUGAAAUGGUUUUCUUAGGUAAUAAAGAAUGGCAAUGUGGGAACAUUUUUAAGUUUUAGACUUUAGUUUUUGUUUUGGUUUGUAAAUGGACAUUCCAUGGACUAUUUAAGGACUUUUAUAACUGGUUUUUGGAUGCUUUUAUUGCUUGGAUUGUUGCAUGAAUGAUGCUAGAUGAAUGGUUAGGUUAUAUGUGGAUUAGCAUGCAUGUGCCUUAGUGAAUUGUGGUUACAGAUGCUUAAAUGAUUGGAUGAAUGCUUGGACAAAUGCAAAAUGGCCAAAGGGCAAGGUAUGGACCUAUAUUACACUUAAAAUUUCCUUAUAUGCAAAUUUGGUAUGUUGAGUAGAUUGAAUUGGGACUUUAGAAAAGCAUGCUAGCACAGGUAAUUGGAUUGGAUGCCAAAGUAUGUUCAUGUAUGAUCUUGUGCAAUUGAGCAUGAUUUAUAUGCUCUACGUAUGCUAUAUGACAUGCUAGAAUAAGGAAUUUGGCAUGAAAUCAUGAAAUGGUAUGUAUAGUUGAGAGUCAAAGUGUCAAAUCUAAGUUGCUAUAAUUUUUCUGCAAAUACUCUAGUCAAUGUCAUGACGAGCCAUAAACAACACCGCGAUGAAGGAUUGUCGUUGGGACGCCAUUUAUCGCGUCAUCAGGACGAAAAAGGGUCUCUAGGUCACAUCGCGAUGAUAGUGACAGAUGAAGCAUGACUUAAGGUUGUAUGUUUAUUUUUAAUGGCUAAUUGAAUAAUAUGCAUGUAUUGUAUGGUGUGAAUGGUGGUUCAUGUGGUGUGCUUUUGUGGCCAAUAAGGAGAGUCAUGUAAGUGGUUAAUGUGACAUUUCAGAUUUGGGUCGAACCCUUCCGACUGGGUUUGGGAUGCCACACACUGGAGUAAUCCAUCACUUGACUUCUAAAUUAGAAAAUACAGGCAUUCACUCUAAAUAUUCAGGCAUUGACAAAGUGGCAUUCACCAAUGGUAAAAGCUUACCCAUAACUCAUAUUGAUUCUAGUGAUAUUUCUCUCAAUUCUCGAAAGUUUUUGUUAGAUAUUAUGCUUCAAGUUCCAAAAUCUAACAUAAUUUUGUUAUUUGUUUGUUAGUUCACUAACUCUAAUGAUGUCUUUAUCGAAUUUUUCUCAAUUUUUUUUGAUUAAAGACUGGAAAAUGAAGCAGCCACCCCACCAUGGAUACAUUAAAGAUAGACUCUAUCAUUUAGUUUCAAGUCUAGUUUCUCUAGCUUCCCAUUCAGUUUCUUUGUUCCGUUGGCAUGCCAUAAGCUAUCAUUUCAUUAUUUCGAUUAUCAAGCAAAAGAACCAUUAAAAUUAAUCUAUCUGAUUUAUGCAGUCCUUCAUUAGUUACUUCUUUUGAUUUUUUUACUAUUUUUUAUCAUUAUUCUAAGUACACAUGGAUUUAUUUUUUUCAUCAUAAAUAUGAUGUUUUCAACUAUUUUGUUAAUUUUCGAGCUAUAGUUGAGUUUUUUUUUGUUUUGUUAAAUCCAUUAAACAAUUUCAGUCAGAUAGGGGAGGGAAAUAUCAAGGUCUACAACACUACCUUUCCUAAAAUGUCAUUCUACAAAGAAGCUCUUGUUCAUAAACACCAAAAAAAAUAAAUAUGUUGAACAAAAACACUGACACAUUAUAGAAACAGAUCGAGCUUAUCUUUACAAAUCCUCUAUACCACCAAAAUAUUGGGAUCAUGCUUUUGCCAUUGUUAUUUAUACCAUAAAUCGCUUACCCACUCAAAAGCUAAAGUGCAAAUCACCUUAUCAACAAAUUUUUCAACAUAACCUGGAAUAUAACUUUCUUCAUGUUUUAUUGUUGUUGUCGUUAUUAUUUAUGGCUUCAUCCUUAUACUAAAAAUAAACCCAUCUUUCUUGUUAUAAUCUUCUUCAUAAUGGUUAUAAAUGUUUUUCAAUACCUACCAAUGAAGUUUUUUGUCAUAUUUGAUGAACAAGUGUUCCCAUUCAAAGGAAAUGAUGGGCAACCUUCAAUUCUCAGUCCACCACCAUCACCAAUUACUAUUUUUCUCUUGUACAACCUAUUAAGUCAAUGGAAUCCCAACCAACACCAAAUAUCACGCCUACUACACAAUCGAGAGACUUACAAACAACACCAUCAACAAGUCCUUUCUUUUCUCCUACCAAUAACACCACUACAAAUCCACCAUCUUCCUCAAUAUCCCAACCACUCCUUAAACGUACAAAUGAAUUUUCAUCCUACACAGACCACAAUAUAAAUGCUCAAACCCAACACUCCAUGAUUACUAGAUCCAAAAUCGACAACUUGAAACCCAAACUCUUUCAUACUACACUCACUUUUAUCGUUUCUCUAUGCAUAUAUAAAAAAGUAGCCAAACAAAAAAUUUGGCGUCAAGCAAUGUCAGAGGAAAUAGAUGCUGAUGGUUACUAAACUAACUAAAAAUAUGACAAAGGCAAGUGCACCUAUCGAAUAACAGUAUAGCUAUGGUGAGUAGGGAAUAUCAUAUCGACGAGGACUAAAAGUACUAGUAAUUACUGUCUUUUUAUUAUCUAGCCGACAAAUUGGGGUGAUGUGUUUUAAUCUAAAAUUACUAAACUAAUUUAUCUAAUAACGCAACAGAGAAUGAAAUAGGAAAAUAAUCGAAGAUAACCAAUGAGAUAGACAAUACUCAGGAAAGAAUCCACCUAGACUUCACCUAUUAUUAUGAAUCUGAAUUAAACAAUUUAUUCACUUGCUGCUUGAUCCAUAGAAAUCCCUAAAUUGUGUUAAUAUCUUUUUUGAUAGUAAGAACAACAGACUCUAGGUUGAUUAAUUGAAGUCUCUUUCUAAUUAAAACCUCUAUCGUUGCAUUAACUCGAUCUAUGGUUUCCCUUAUUAGAUUUGACAUUAAUCCAGUAGAUUUAUGUCGUCCUAUUCUUAGGAUUGCAUGCAACUCCAUUGAAUUAUGCUAGAUCUACUCUUAAAUAGGGACUUUUGCUCCACUGAAAUAAGCACAUUAAACAUGAAUUAAUAUCCUGAAAAUAUUAAAACACGAAAUAAGCAUACAUAAUUGAGAACAAGAAUCAAGUAUUUAUCGCGUAAAAACAUAAAUUAAAUAAGAGCAUUCAUCAUAGGCUUCAUCCUCCCUAGGUAUCUAAAGAAUUUAUUUCGUAAUCCUGAAUAGAAACAUCUCAAAGUUAGGAUCACCGCAAGACAUAAAGAAACUCAAUAAAAAUUCAAAAUAAAUUAAAUGGAGAUCUUCGAUCUUGAGGGAGAUUCACUUCCAAGUUGAUUUCAAUAGCGUUCUUCAAGUGUUUUCUUCGAUCUUCGCUAAUUCCUAUUCUCUAUUAUUCUAAUUGGUAUUUAUAGUAUUUAGAAUGCUUAGAAAGCCUAAAAAUUGGGUUUUUUCGUGUAUUUUGGAAGCAGAGUGUGAAAACGACUUGGGCAGGCACAUGGGCGUGUGGCCAACCUUUGUGGAAAUGCCCAGCUCAUGUGGAUUCUGAAAGUAGCUUUUUUAUCUCAUUUUGGCUCGUUUUUCACUCCUUUCGCUCCCAACUGCGCUUUUAAGUAUAGAAACAUGAAUUUAAAUGAUUAGGAUCAUCAAAUUCACUAAUUUACAUAAUUAAUCAUCCAAAAAAGCAUUCAGAAUGAGAUUAAAAUAUGUUACUUUUAUAGCUUAUCAAAUAUCCCUACACUUAAGCAUCCGCUUGUCCUCAAGCAAAAUCCUCAACUCUCAUUAAAAUUAAUCUUUCUCAACUUAUAAAUCUCAUCAAUAAUGUCUCAAAAUAAUUCACAAAUAAUUAUGCAUUGACAAUUCAACUAAAAAAGUACUAAAGAUUCAAACAAUCUAAGUCAAAAAAUUUUAAAGUUACAAAAACAUAGGUAUUUCUCCUUUAUCUAGGUAAUUACCUUUAAUUCAAAAUUGAAAAGAAUCGACAUCCCCACUAAAUAUUCACUCAAAUCAAUCAAAGUGUUUAAGGUUCAAGAAUAAGCACUCAAUAGCCAAACAAGAAAAGUCAUUACCAUAGGGUUGCAUGAAAAUCAAAUCUCCACCACUAUAAAAUGAUAUGAUACACAAAUCAAAAAGGUCUUUAAGAGGUUGUAGUGAGGCUUAGGUUAAGGGUGUGGAGAAAGGCUGAAAAAGUUGGUUAAAAUCAAAAUCGAAUUGAUAAAUUUCCAAAUUAGAAAAAUAAACAAAUGCUGAAUUAAGAACUAUUCAAGAAUAAUAAAAUGAGCUUCUUCUCAAAAUAUGAAUUUAACUGUUCAAGCUCAAUCAAUAAGACUAAUUAAUAAUCAAUAUUAAUUUUUCGAUAUAUAUAUAUUUGAUCUUUUUUUAAAAACAAUAAGAAAUAAUUCAGCAAAUCAAACAAAAGAGUAUAGUUAGGCAACUAACCAAAUCAAAUCUUGACAGAAAGAAAGUCAAUAAAACGGGAAAAAGUCUCAAUGAAAAGUUGAAUUAUGGGUUAACAUUAAUGGAAAAAUCAAGAAAAUGUGUGUUAGGCUCAACGGGGUUCACGAAGGGUUAAUUACGAAGGUAGGCUUUUAUGGGAUAAGUGGGUUAAAAUAUAAGUGUCUUUAUCAUCUCAGUAUAUCAAAUCAAAUGUGUGGUCUCGACAUGUAUAAUCAAAGCAAGUUUUAAAAUAAAAAAUCAAAUUGACACACUCAACCAAUAAUAAAAUGAGCAAAAUAAAUGUAUGCUCUAAAGGCUCAAAAUCUUACAAAAAUUCAUGGUUUUUUAUGUCAAACUUGCAGUUCUCAAACUUCAAGGUAAUACUUCAAUUUAGGGAAACAACCUAAACUUUUUAAUUUCUGAAAAAUAGUUUAUCAUGCUUGAUUCUUUGAUGUCUUCAAGUUUAAAUCAACCAAUACACAAUUAUCGGCAAAUUAAUCUAAAACACAUCAACAAAAAUUCCAAAUUGACAAAAAUUCAUUCUAAUGGAAGUAUGAGAAAAUUACUUAAAUACAAGACAUGAUUCAAGGAUUUUCUAAGAAUUAUAUAAAUAUCCUCCCCACACUUAAGAUGUACAUUGUCCUCAAUGUACAAACAGAUAUAAUCAUAGUAUAAAUAGAAUAUUCAUAAGAGAGGGAGAAACCUAAAACUUCCCUGAAUAUUGGAUGAAUUUGCUAGAAUGGUGAAAAGUUGAAUUGUAGGCAAAUCUAAAUGUAGUACAGGAUUCCAAGUAAACUAAUAAGAAAAUAAACACAAAUAAAAAAGAAGAUUAAGGGGUUAUAACUUGAUUUGAAACAACCAUAAAAAUAUAUUUCAAGAGAUAAUUAAAAGAAGUACAAGAAAAUAAAAAUAAAAACAAAACAACUAAAAGUAGAAAUAAACAUAAACAUAACAGAAAAUAAAUAAAAUCAAUGAUCAUCAUCGUUAGAGGCAUCAGUAGGGUGAGUCACCGCUACUGAAGAAGAGAUAUGAAGGUGCUGGCAGAUCUACUAUAAAGUCCCGUCAAUACUGUCGAACCUCUGAAAGUGGUGCUAUUCGAAAUGAGUGAACCGCUUGGAGAGGUCCUCUAAUGUAGCAGCAAAAGAAACAAGACGGUGACUCGAAGGUGGAUGAAGAGGUGGAUCCUCGUGAUGGAAAGAGGCUUCAUCAGUGAAGUCUCCGGUUCAUUCUGAGGGUCAGAAUGAAAUAAUCAUACUAAGAAGGAUCCACUCUACGAAGCCGCUCGAUCAUCUGCAUAUGUGUCAUGCUCGAUAAUUUCUAUGGGGACAUCUGCUCGACAAGUGUAAGCGAAGAAAACUGCUAUUGUGUGUCAAGGAGGCCGAAGUGUCAUGCGAGUCGAGUCACAUAAAGGCCUAAAACAGAUAGGACCCUUCCUACUACGUUGUAUCUGAUGACGAAAGGAGAGCGUGAUAAAGUAGGUUAGAUAAAAAAUAAGCCACAUGGCCAUGCUCCAUAGAAAGUAUGCAUCAGUGGUACCGAUGACUCUGGUGCUCUCUCUCCUACCGGUCAAUGUGUGAGCAAAGAGGGCAUUAAUAUACUGUAGAGCUAGAGGGAGAGAAAUCGUCUUCAAGUGACUCACGUCAUAAGGUGUCAUACUCACCAUGAGGUCUUUCCAGCAAAGAGAUGGCGAGUAGUGGAUGUGUCAAUGUAGGCGGAGAAAGUUCUCGGCACUCAUAAACUCUUCAGUGUAUAGUCUCAAAGCAACAUUGAACUCAGGGACACUCAUAUGACGCGCCAUGCCACCGAGUCUGAAAGUGAUGGUGCCCGGCUCAUCAUGAGACGACAUCACCUACUGAAAGGUAAAUGUGGAACAAAACUCCAAAGUAAGCUCCAUAUAAGUGGGCUCGAUGAUGGAAAAGAACUAGUCCCGCGGUGUGGUAGCAAUGAUGGCGCAGACAUGAUCAGCUAAUUGGACCAGCUACAAAGUAGCCCAAUUAAUGCAUCGGCCUAUGCCGAGUGGCCAAAGUCGAAUAAUCUUAUACAAGUCCUCUUAAGACCCUAAGAAAAACGGAGGAACGGAUGGCGUGCCUCAGCGGAAGCGCCCAAAAAGGAGGUCACACUCGGAGUCUUCUGCUUUUCUGAAGCGAGAACGGAAAUCUUAGACUUACUUUAUGUGUUUGUAAUGGUGUCCAACGGGUGGUGCUGACGGUCAAAAACGCGCGAUGGUCGGUGCAAGGGAUGGAGGAGGCUGGUUUGGACGGUGGAGGGGGUGACGCAUUUGAAAUGGCGUGUGUGUGUACGUGGAAAGGGGAAACGGUGGUGGAACAGGGCUGGUUGUGUGUGGUGCGGUGAGGAUGAAGGGAAGGAAAGGGUUCGACAAGGGGUCGGCGCGAGGGGAAAAGAGGGUAGUCGUAGGGGGCCUUGUGUGCAUGGAGUUUGAAGGGGUUAAGGGCUUUGGUCGAAUGUGGGUCAGCGAGGAGGGGAGAAUAAAGAAAGGGAAAGGGAGGAGCUAGGUUGUGGGGGCAUGGUUGGUGGUGCGGUGAGGCGAGGUAAGGUGAGGUGAGGUAGCUGAUCUGGUGAGAGAGAGGUUCAGCGGCGACGAGGGAGGAACGGCGGUCGGAAUAGAGGAAGAAAUUGGGAACGGGGGCUAGGGGCUAGUUGGGGAAGAAGACAAAACAAAGAAAAAGAAAGGAGGCUAGGGUUUUAAGGGUGACACGGACAUGUGAGGCCCAUGUUGGACCACACGCCCGUGUGGGACUUUUCCAACCCGUGGGCAAUAAAAUUUUUUAGCCCAGACUUCACACAGCCUCAAACACGUCCGUGUGUCUAUGCCGUGUGUGCUCUGCUUCGCUUCUCCCACACCCAUGUAGCUCGGCCAUGUCUCGCAUACGACCAUGUGUCUUGCCCGUGUAACUUUGUGACUUGAUUUAAGAUUGAAAAAAAUAGCUUCAAGUUUCACACGGCCGUGUGGCACGAUUGUGUUAACUAUUUCAGGCCGUGUAACCUUCAAAUUUUUGAAAAAUUAAGUCCCAGAAUCCACACAGCCAAGGACACGCUCGUAUGUCCAGGCCAUGUAGGUCAUAUGGCCAUGUCGCCAGGCUGUGUAACUCACUGUCGAAUACUUUUUCAUGUACACGGCAAAGGACACGCCCGUGUGUCUCGGCCAUGUGAUGAACUAUCGGCUACUCCAAUUUGCACAUGGCCUGGGACACGCCUGUGUGCCCAGGCCGUGGGUCAAAAACACACAUUUUUUAUUUUUUUAAGAUUUUAAAUUAGCAUGCAAUGAAAUUAAAAAAAUUAGAAAAAGUUAGACAUUCGGGUUGCCUCCCGAGAAGCGUUUAUUUAAAGUCUAAGCUCGACUUACCUAAUGUAUUGUUAUGGUGCUUCUCGGAGUCGAAGCUCCUCUUUAUCAUCUCUAAAAUCGUCACCACUAUAAAAUUUGAGUCGAUAUCCAUUUACCUUGAAUGUGCCAUAUGUCGAAUGUGUUACCUCUAUCGUACCAUACAGGAAAAAGGUUUGUACCAUGAAUGGACCUGACCAUCUUGAUCUCAGCUUUUCGGGAAAUAAUUUAAGCUUUGAAUUGUAUAAAAGGACACGAUCUCCAACUGCGAAUUGUUUGGGCUGCUUCAAAUGAGCGUCGUGGCGUUGCUUUGUCGCUUCUUUAUAAAGUCUCGAGUUCUCGUAAGCAUUAGCUCUCCACUCGUCUAACUCAUUUAGUUGCAUCAAUAUUUUCUCACCUGCAAGUUUAAGGUCGUAGUUUAGAAAUUUUAUUGCCCAAAAUGCUUUAUGUUCGAGUUCAAGCGGUAAAUGACAACUCUUUCCAUAUACAAGUCUGUAAUGAGAGGUUCUUAUGGGUGUCUUAUACGCAGUCCUAUAAGCCCAUAAAGCAUCAUCCACUUUUAUCGCCCAAUCCUUUCUAUUUGUCUCCACCAUUUUUUCUAUGAUGCAUUUGAGUUCUCGAUUUGCAACUUCAACUUGCCCACUAGUUUGAGGGUGAUAAAAGGUAGCCAUUCUAUGAUGCACUUCAUACUUAUUAAGACCUUAUCAAAUUGAGCAUUACAAAAAUGUGUACCUCUAUCACUAAUAAUCUCUCUAGGUGUUCCAAAUCGAGAAAAGAGCUUGUUAAGAAAUCAAACUACCACGCUAGCAUCAUUAGUAGGUAAAGCUUGAGCUUCUACCCAUUUUGACAUAUAAUCAACUACUACUAGAAUGUAUUUAUUACCAAAAGAGCUAGGAAAUGGGCCCAUGAAAUCAAUGCCCCAAACGUAAAAAAUUUCUCUGGCAUCUAUCACAAGAAGCAACAUACCUGUUAGCGUCCUUGAACAAUGUAGGCCAAUAAAAACCUGAUUCAAGUGUUUUAUGUGUUGUCCUAAUUCUACUGUAAUGUCCUCCUGUCGAUCCUAAGUGGCAAUGGUCCAAGAUUUUAUUCGCUCCUAAUUUUGUAACACACCUUCGAAUUACUUGAUCUGCACAUACACGAAAAAGAAAAGGGUCUCCCAGAAAUAAUUUUUCAUAUCGGCAAAGAAUCGCUUCUUUUGAUGAUGUGUCAACCUUUUUGGUAAGAUGUUAGCGGCCAUGUAAUUCACGAUAUUCGCAAACCAAGGGACUUUAGAAUCGAUUAUAACCAUGAGUUGUUCAUCAGGAAACGAGUCAUUAAUCUCAUUCUCAUUAAGCUCCUUGAGAUGGGGAUUCUUUAGUAGUGAAAGGUGAUAUGUUGUAAGAUUUUUAGCUCCCUUCUUAUCUUGGAUUUCCAAAUCGAACUCCUGCAAUAAUAAAAUCCACCUUGUAAGUCGAGGUUUUGCAUCUGAUUUAGCUAGAAGAUAGCGAAGAGCAGAAUGGUCAGUGUAAACAAUAACUUUAGACAAUAUUAAAUAUGGUCUAAAUUUACUGAAUGCAAAAACCACAGCUAGCAAUUCUUUUUCUGUAGUAGUGUAAUUUCUUUUACAUCUGUCAAAGUCUUGCUAGCAUAAUAGAUUGGCUGAAAAUGCUUGUCUCUUCGCUGUCCAAGAACUACACCUACUGCAAAAUCACUCGCAUCACACAUUAGUUCAAAGGGUAAAUUCCAAUCAGGUGCAACCACAAUAGGGGCAUUAAUUAAUUUUUCCUUAAUAGUAUCAAAUGCUUCUAAGCAUUCCUGACUAAAAUUGAAUGGCACAUCUUUUUCUAGCAAAUUAGUCAAGGGCUUAACUAUUUUAGAAAAAUCUUUGAUAGAUCUUCUAUAGAAUCCAGCAUGUCCUAAAAAGCUUCGAAUAGCCUUAACUGAACCAGGAGGAGAUAGUUUUUCGAUGGUUUCAAUUUUCGCUCUAUCAACCUCAAUCAUUUACUAGAAAUUUUAUGGCCCAACACAAUCCCUUCUCGAACCAUGAAGUGACAUUUUUCCCAAUUGGGCACAAGGUUCGUUCCCUCAAUCUCAUUAAAACAUGUUUUAGAUUUUUCAGACAAAGGUGGAAAAAAUUACCGAAUACUAAGAAGUCAUCCAUAAAUACCUCCAUAAUGUCUUCUACAAGUUCAUUAAAGAUUGCUAACAUGCAAUGCUAAAAAGUAUCAUGAGCAUUACACAAUCCAAGAGGCAUUCUUCGAUAAGCAAACGUACCAUGUGAACAUGUAAAUGUCAUUUUUUCUUGGUCCUCGAGAGCUAUCGGGAUUUGGAAGUAGCCAGAAAGUCCAUCUAAGAAGCAAUAAUACAUGUGACCAGAUAAUCUCUCCAACAUUUGAUCUUUGAAUGGUAAAGGAAAAUGAUCUUUCCUUAUGGCAUCGUUCAACUUCCUAUAGUCAACUCCAUCCCGUGACUGUUCUUAUUAGAAUCAACUCGUUUUUCUCGUUGGUCACAACAGUCAUGCCUCCUUUAUUAGGAACAACCUGCACAGGACUCACCCAAGUACUAUCAAAAAUAGGAUAAAUAACUCCAGCAUCUAGAAGUUUAAUUACCUCAGCCUUAACAACUUCUUUCAUGUUAGGAUUUAACCUUCUUUGAGCUUGCAUGCAUGGUUUGUACUCGUCUUCCAUUAAAAUUUUAUGAGUGCAAAAAGAAGGAUCAAUCCCUCUGAUGUCGAAAAUCUUCCAGGCUAUAGCUCUUUUAUGUUCCUUCAACACUUGCAAUAACUCAUCGUUUUCAUUUGGCUUUAAAUCUGAAGCAAUAAUCACUGGUAAUGUAGAACCGUCUCCAAGAAAUGCAUACUCUAGGUGAUUUGGUAAUUACUUCAGUUCCAAUUUGGGAGGUUCUUCAAUGGAGGGUUUUAAUUUUAUUUCAUUGUUAACCUCAAUGCCCUCAUAAUUAUUCUUUCUCAGUGAAGACUCAUUAGAAUCUAAAUCAAUUUUUGCCUCACUUAUCAUAGCAUUAUCGUCAUCUACCUCCUCUCCUUGAACAAGAAAUAGUUCCAACGUGUCCUUAUGAAUAAUUUCUUAUAAUGAAUCUUGAAUAACAUGAUCAAUAAAGUCAAUACAAUAACAUGAAUCAUCUUGUUCUCUAAAGAAUCGCAUGGCAUCAUAGAUUUUAAAAGUAAUAUCUUCAUCACCUACCCUAAGCACAAGUUUACCAUCACCCAUAUUAAUGACAGCACUAGCAGUUGCUAAAAAGGGGCGACUUAAAAUUAAAGGCACCUCACUACCCUCAUCCAUGUCAAGCAUAUCAAAAUCAACAGGGAAUAUGAAUUUAUCUACCUUUACAACUACAUCUUUAAUAAUACCUCUAGGAUAUUUAAGAAAUCUAUGGGUUAAUUGACUACUCAUCCUAGUGGGUUUCGGUUCCCCAAGACCAAGUUGCUUGAACAUUUUAUAAGGCAUCAAAUUAAUGCUAGCACCCAAAUCAGCUAAUGCUUUCUCAAUUUUUAAACUACCAAUAAAAUAAUGGAUGGUAAAACUUCCUAGAUCUUUCAGCUUUGUUGGCAGUUUAUUUUAAAGAAUAGCUAAACAUUCCCCAUUAAGUUCCACAGUGGAUAGCUCUUCAAACUUCUUUUUAUUUGUUAAUAGCUCAUUUAAAAAUUUUGCAUAUAUGGGCAUCUACAAAAUAACUUCAAAAAAAGGUAAGUUAAUUUGCAAUUGUUUGAAAAGUUCAAGAGUUUUACCAAAUUGUUCAUCCAUGCGGUCUUUCUUCAACUUUGUCGGAUAUGGGAUCGGUGGUUUAUAUUCUUUAAGCACUGGUGUUUGAAACUCUUCGGGUUUUACCCCCUCAUCAUUUUCCUUAUCAGUUUCCUGUUGCAGCUUCUUUUCAGGUUCAGCCAACACCUUCCCAUUCCUUAAUGUAACUGUUUUCUCAUACUUUUUUGGGUUAGGUUCGGUAUUACUAGAUGAACUACCUUGUUGCCUUUUUGAAACCAAUUUAGCAAGCUAUUCAACCUACUUUUCGAGCCAAAGAAUAUAUGCUUGCUGAUUUUUUAAAGUUGUCUCGGUGUUUUGAAAAUGAGUCUCUAACACCGAAAUAAAUUUUGUCAACAUCUCUUCAAGGUUCAGCUUCUUCUCUGGCUGAUAAGGUUGUUGUAAGCUCGAAAGGGUUUGCGAUCUUUGGUUUCCUUGACCACCCCAUGAAAAGUUUGGGUGGUUUCUCCAACCUGCAUUAUAGUUAUUACUAUAAAGGUUAUGUUGAGUUCUAGAAUUAGUACCCAUAUAAUUGAUAUGCUCAUUCUCUGUGCUAGGACUAAAGGGUAUAUCUUCUAGAUUAUUUAUUCCACCUCCAUUUGCAUCGCAUUGCAUCACCGAAUUUACCUGCGUAAAAAGAUAUAAAUCAUCAAAUUACUUGUUUAAUAUUUCUACCUGAUGUGAUAACAUGGUGAUCGCAUCUAAAUUAAAGGCACGGGCUACUUUCAUCAGUUUCAUCCUCAUGACAUGCCACUGAUGAUUAUUCAGUGACAUCUCCUCAAUAAAUUCAUGAGCCACUUCAGGUGUUUUAUUAUUCAGAGUUCCACCGGCUACUGCAUCGAUUAGUUUCCUAGUUGAGGGAUUCAAACCAUUGUACAUAAUACGAGGAACAAGAACAGGAUCUACAAGAUUUGCAGUAAUUACAGGAGGUAGUUGAUUAUUUUGAUUAUCACCCAUCUCCUUAGUAAUAAAGGAACCUGCCAAAAGCAAACAAAAUAAAAAUUAGAAUGUAAAAAUUAAACUAAAAAAAUCAAAUAAAGUAAAAAUAAAUGGCUAAAUUAAUAAAAAUAAAGUGUUCCUAAUAUUUUAGUCACCGGUAACUACGCCAAAAACUUGAUGGUUACUAAACUAACUAUAAAUAAUACAAAGGCAAGUGCACCUAUCGAAUAAUAGUAUAGUUAUGGUGAGUAAGGAAUAUCGUAUCCAUGAGGACUAAAAGUAUUAGUAAUUACUGUCUUCUUAUUAUCUAGCCGACAAAUUAGGGUGAUGUGUUUUAAUCUAAAAUUACUAAACUAAUUUAUCUAAUAACGCAAUAGAGAAUGAAAUAGGAAAAUAAUCGAAGAUAACCAAUGAGAUAGACAAUACCCAGGAAAGAAAUCCACGUAGACUUCACCUAUUAUUAUGAAUUUGAAUUGAACAAUUUGUUCACUUGCUGCUUGAUCCAUAGAAAUCCCUAAAUUGUGUUAAUAUCUUUUUCGAGAGUAAGAACAACAGACUCUAGGUUGAUUAAUUGAAAUCUCUUUCUAAUUAAAACCCCUAUCGUCGCAUUAACUUAAUCUAUGGAUUCCCCUAUUAGAUUUGACUCUAAUCUGGUACAUUUAUGUCGUCAUAUUUCUAGGAUUGCAUACAACUCCACUCAAUUAUACUAGAUCUACUAUUAAACAAGGACUUUUGCUCCACUGAAAUUAGCACAUUAAACAUGAAUUAAUAUCCUGAAAAUAUUAAAAACAUGAAAUAAGCAUACAUAAUUGAGAAUAAUAAUCAAGUAUUUAUCGCCUAAAACAUAAAUUAAAUAAGAGGAUUCAUCAUAGGCUUCAUCCUCUUAGGUAUCUGGGGAAUUUAGUUCAUAAUCCUGAAUAGAAACAUCUCAAAGUUAGGAUAACCAUAAGACAUAAAGAAACUCAAUAAAACUUCAAAAAAAAUUAAAUGGAGACCUUCGAUCUUGUGGGAGAUCCGCUUCCAAGUUGAUUCCAACGGUGUUCGUCGAGUGUUUUCUUCGAUCUUCUCUAAUUUCCCCAUUCUCUAUUCUUCUAAUUGAUAUUUAUAGUAUUUAGAAUGCUCAGAAAGCCUAAAAAUUGGGUUUUCCGCGUAUCUGGGAAGCAGAGUGCGAAAUCAACACGGGAUGGCACAUGGGUGUGUGGCUAGCCCAUGUGAGCCCAGCCCGUGUGGAUCUUGAAAGCAGCUCUUUUUGUUCGAUUCUGGCUCUUUUUUCGCUCAUUUCACUCCCAAAUGCUCUCCUAAGUAUAGAACAUGAAUUUAAAGGAUUAAGAGCAUCAAAUUCACUAAAUUGCAUAAUUAAUCAUCCAAAAACGCAUUAAGAAUGAAAUUAAAAUAUGUUACUUUUAUAGCUUAUCAGAUGUAUUAAUGGACAAUUGGAUAUGAGAUCACAAGCAACAAAUAUAAUCAAUUGUAAGAGGAUUUAUCGCAUCAAAACCAAAGUUUGGGCUAAAGGGUUUCAUCAAACCAAGCGUAUACUAUGCUAAAACCUUUAGCCUCAUCAUCAAACCAACCAUGGUUCGUCAAACAUAUCAUUCAAAUUUAAAGAGAGAUUUUACACUACACCAAAAAAGGCUUUUAGUGGCAUUUUUAAAAAACGCCGCUAAAGAUCGAGUAUUAGCGGUGGCUUUUGGAAAAUGCCGCUAAAAAUGAGCAUUAGCGACGUUUUCCAAAAAGUGCCGCAAAAAACCUAAGCCCAAUUUCUGAGUUUUCGAGGGCUUUAGUGGCGUUUUUGAAAAAGCACCGCUAAUGCUCAAGGCUUUAGCGGCGUUUUUGAAAAAUCACCACUAAUGCUCAAGGCUUAGCGGCAUUUUUGAAAAAGCGCCGCUAAUGCUCAGGGUUUUAGCGGCGUUUCUAAAAAGCGCCGCUAAUGCUCUAUUUUUAGCGGCAUUUUUGAAAAAGCGCCGCAAAAAAUAUUUUAUCUGUCUAUUUAUUAUUUAAUUGGUUUAUUUAUAUUAAAUAAAAUUUAAAUUAUUUUUAAUUGAAUAUUCAAAAUCUUCAGAAAAAAUAAUGACACGUAGAAAUAAUUUGAAAUAAAAAAACAUAGAAAAAUAUUUGUUAAAAAGUGGAAAAAUUAAAAUACUAUUAUUUAAAAUAAUUUAAAAUUUUUUUGGGUACAUUACUGAGUGUUUUUUAAUUUACAUAUUAAAUGAUUUCUUAUAUAAUCGUAAAAGAGAUAGUAUUAAUUUUAAAAUAUUGAAUUAAUUAUCACUAUAGUUUAAGGUUUUUGGUUUAGGGUAUAUGGUUUAGAGUUUAAGGUUUAGGAGUUACUAUUUUAAGGUUUUUGUAGAUUUUUGUUGGUGGUUUGGAUCCUAGUGUUUUUGGAUAUUUUGUUGUUGGUGGUUAGAGAUUUUUGUUGCUGGAUAGAAAUGUGUUUGACUCUGGAUAUUUUCAUCAUUUCAGGUAAGAAUGAUUGAUUUUUAUUACGGUCUGAUGUGGAUGAGGAGUUUGAAUCUUCUAGAGUUGAAGAAACUAGGAGUACUAUUACAAAUGGAAGCCGAAGCCACACUAACAGACUAUCGUGAUAAGACAGCUAAUUUAACAACUAAUUCUGGUAAGCUUUUUAUCUUUAUUUUGUCUUUAAUAAGCUUUUUUUAAUUGAGAAACCGUUUUUUUUUCUUUUUAAAUGUAAAACUUUUUUAGUAAGCAGCAACAUAACUAAAUCACCAUAUGCUAAUAAUGAGAAGAUUUAUUGUUCCUAUUCCCUUGGCUCCAAUUUUUUUGGUUCAAAACUUGAUGUCUAAGUGUAUGCUUGAGUAUUUGGCAAUCAAUCCUGUGAAAUAGUUUCUAGUUAAGGUGGCAUAGAAGCAGAUAGUCCAGGCAUAAUCUGUUCUUACAAUUUUUGCGAAAUUGUUGUCUUUUGAAAUAUCUUUAAGAUUAAGGAACUAUACUAAAUGCGGUCACAAAACUUAUGGAGGACAGUUAUAAGGGUUGGGGUUUAAGGGUUAUGGGUUAGGGGUUAAGGGUUAAGGGUUUACAAUUUACGAUUUAUGUUUUACAAUUUAGGAUUUAGGGGAUAGGGGUUAGGGGUUUAAGGUUUACAUUAAUUAGUGUUUUUUAAUUUAUAUAUUAAAUAAUUUCUUAUAUAAUUGUAAAAGAGAUAAUUUUAAUUUUAAUAUAUUAAAAUUAUGAUUAUAGUUUAAAUUAUUUAAGAGCUUAAUAGAUAAACUUUAUAUAUAUUAACUGGUUUAGGAUUUAAGGUUUACUUGAGAUUUGUUAAAUGAUGAAAAUUUAUACAAUCAAUUAAUGCUUUUAUAUUUAAAAAUAUUUAAUCUAAACCAUUUGAUAUAUUUAAAUAUUAGAUUUAACAAAAAAAAUUGAUAAAUAAAUAAAUAAAUAAAAAGUAACAGAUUAAUAUGGAUAGGUAACUAUCUAUUUUGGAUAGGACCAAAUUAUAACAAAUAAAAAUGAAAUAUAAAAACUAAAAUCAUUCAACAUCGAACAUCUAGCAUAAUAGUUAUAUUUUAGUUAAGAAGAAAUAUCUCUAAUAAAAUGGAGAUUAAAUCGGAAAAGAAUAAUAUAAAAUCGUGAUUAACAUUUCAAUCUUUAAUAGAAAUCGUGAUUAACAUUGGAUAAUUCUAACUUAAUAAUUAAUUGCAGUCAUUUAAUCAUUUGUUUUCUUAUUAAAAUAUAUGAUAUUUAUUUUGAAAGUACUUGAUUUUUUUUUAUAGAAAUCCAAUUUAUAAAAAAUAGUAAUAAUAAAAGUUUUAUAAAAUCACUUAACUAAAAAUUGUUAGCAGACAAAAUAAAAAAUUUUUAGCAGAGCAAAACGGCGUCAUUUUGUUUGAGUGAAAUGAUUUUUUGUAGCUUUUUUAUAAAAAAAAAACGCUAAAGGUAAGCAAUAGAAUCAUUUUAUUUUAAAAAUACUCAGUUUUAUCCUCAAAUUUUCCCAACCUCUAAUUUUCCCCCCUAAAAUUACAAACUUAAAUUUACCGCUUCAUUUUAAAGGGUUCCCACCGAACAGAAGAAACAAGAGAGCAGGAGAGAAGUAAAGGAAAAGAGGAGAUUCCAUCAUCGCCGUCCGAAGAGGAGGCACGACCAUGAGCAGGGUCAGAGUCAGAAUAAGGAGACCUUGUAGGCGAUUUUUGCGCUAACUGACGAUCUUAAAAACUAGUUUAUCAAGCAAGUAAGACCACAAGUUUCUGUCUCUUGCUUUGAAAUCAAAACCCUAGAUUGUUGCUUUCUGCCUAUUUUGUUAUUUAUUUUUUUCAUUGUUUUUAUGUUCUUUUAGUUUUUUUUUUAUCUUUAAUUCUUUAUUUUUAUGUUCAUGUUCCUGUAGCUGGAAUAUUAUUGUAGCGAUGAAAACAUGAGUAAGUAUAUCACGUGACCGAUUAAGAAGAACAAAAAAGGUUUUAGGGUAAGUAAUCACAGUUCUCGCUUGAUUUGAGGUUUUCUUUUGUUUAUUUAUUUGUUAGCGUUAAGAAUGUAACCGUGCUUAUACCAUCCUCUAACGCCUAUAAGCUUGUAGCCUUGAUUGGUUUUGCUGCGUGGAAAUGAUUAGUGACCUCUCCAGUCACCAAGAAGAUGGAACUAUUACGCUAAUUCUUAGUCUUGGAUGGGGCUUAAUGGGGUAAAUCCCCUUAUGGUUGGAUAAAAGGCUUGUAAGAUUGAUGAGGUUAGCAUGUUAUGCUUGCAUUAUUCUUUGUUUCCAAUUUGCUUUAGGCUUGUAAGAUUGAGUUUUCCCUUUUUAUUCUUUAUUUUAUGUUACUAAUUAUGCAGUUGGGACAAAUUUAACAAUGGUGCGUACCACGUUUGAUGCCUUAGUUUACUUUGGAAGACUUAUCUUCGAUUUUGAAACAUGCAUUUUUUAUUUCAGAUAUGUAUCUGCUGAAAGAUAUUCUGAGGCCUUGGAUCUGCUUGAGUUGGGUGCACGUCUCCAGUUGAAGCAUUGCCAAGUUUUCUUUUUCCUCCUUCAAUUACAUUGGCAUGUCGACUUAAGUUAUUAUGCUAUUAUACCAAGUAUUGGCAUGUCAAUUUAAGUUAUUAUGGAACAGCCUCUCCAGUUAUACUUCUUAUUUGAUAGAUGAAUGACAGCCUCUCAACAUUUGCAAUAUGUGUGGGGGCUUAAGAUUAUACUGCUUACAGCCUCCGUUAUCAUUUGAUUUUAAUUUAGUAUAAUUUGGUUUCUUUAAUUUUAUAAUAUUGACUUGAAUUUUUUAAAAAAAUGAUAGAUAUGUGAAUUUAUUAUUCGUUGGGAUUGAUUGGAAUUUUAGGUGUUCAUUUGUAAAAGUUUCAUAACUUGUUUGUUCUGUUGUCAGAAACUGAAUAUGACCCAUGGUUUUGCUUGGCACUUUUACAUUUUAAAAUAUCCAUAUGCUUUUAGCUACAGUUUUUGAAUAAGCCUAUACGGGUUCUAGCAUUGGAGAUGGAGUAGGAGACUCUGGGUCCGAAGAAAGCUGUAUGAUUGAUGUUGCUGAUCCUGUGUUUCUGGAACUUCUUAAGGAUGAAAAUGAUGGCCUUGCUGUAUGGUCUUCUAUUGAUAAAACUCCAUUUACAAUUAGAUGAAAGCAAUUACAAACAUAGUAUUACUAGAGGAAAGUAUAGUUGUCUAACCAUUACAGGCUUUUUUAAUUAAGAAUUUGUUUCUCAUUGCUCUUGUAGAGUGCUUUGCUUUUUAAUUUUUAGAUUGUUCAUUUUCUCUAUAUCAAGUAUUUCGAAUUUCUAUUAAUGCAAGUAAAAGCAACACUUUGCAUUUCUAAAUUAAAGCUAGCUUACUUUAAUAUUGUACGCUCUUCCAAUAGUACAAUAUCAUAUUUUUUGAGCUAUGAAUUGUGCAUAUAACUAGGCUAACCUGGUUUUUGUUUGUUUUGUAACUAACAUCCCUUUUUUUCUGUAGUUUGAAAUAAGUCGACACUUGACAGAAGAUUGAUAACAUGUUUGGUUUGGUGAAUGGAUUAGCCAUUACACCCCUAUUUAGUGGGCCCGACUUAAUCCCCACUUAAUCCCGUGUUUGGUUUGAUGUAUUGCCUAUUACAGGCCUAUUACGUCACGGAUGUAUUCCUCAUUUUCUUUGCUUCAACAACGAUUUCUAAUCCGUUCCAAAAGUAAGGAUUAGCUAAUCGUCUCUGUUUUACCCUCCCCAGCCAAAAUCCAUCUCCACCCCACCCUCUCCCUCCCAACAUCAAUAGCAGUUUUCUUCGAACCAAAUCUCCACCGUCUCAGAUCUCCUGUGAGUAAUCUCAACAGCAGUUGCCAGUGAAAAUUGCCCUUUCUUCAAAAACCCAGCCCUAAACCCUUCUUCUCUUUCAAUACUCCAUUCGAACAGGUUGCGGCAUCUCCCUCCUCUGAGGUAUGGCUCUGUUUCUUUAACUUUAGCAUUGAGCGACUUUUUUCAAGUCCAAAAUAGUCUACUCAACUUUGAAUUUAGGCCUAUUUUUGCACAGUUACGGUCUUUUUGGGGGUUCUUUGUUUUUUUUUUGUUGGUUUGGUUAAAUCAUGUUCUGUUAUUUGAAUUUAAACAAAAAAAAAGAGAAAGACGAAGGUUUUUGUUAAGCCAAUUGUGAAAAAGCAGUAGCAACAGCAACCGAAUGCAGACCAUAUCACUGGGAAUAAAAUCCGGAAGAGUUCUGUGUUUUCAAGGGGGAAGCUUUCUGCUCCUCUUAGGCAACUUCAAAUGGAUUUGAGAAAAUUGAUGCUUCCUUAUACUGCUCUCAAACUCAAGCCAAUUGAUGUUAAUCUGAAACUCUUUUUCGGUCGACUCAAUCCCUACAAGAAAUUUCUUUCCUUAUCUCUUCCGAAGGGUUCCUCUCUCUCUCUCUCUCUCUCUCUCUCUAUUUAUCUCAACAAAUUUGAUCUGAAAGAAAGAAAAAAGAAAACUAUUUCCUUUCCAUGAAAUACAUACAGAUCUUCUCUCUACCAAACAUUUUUUCUUUGCUAAGGGUUCUUGCUUUUCAAACCAUUUUUUCGUCAUUUUUCUUGUAAUUGUUUUUCUUGUUAGAGUUCAGAUUUUAGAUUUUUUGGUUGUUGAGUCUUAGAGGCAGUUGUAUUCAGUAAUGGCUGGCUUGCUUUGAUGCAUUGCUGCUGUAUAUCUUUGUAGAAAACGAAUCUGUAUCUAUUAUUAACACAAAUUUGAUUAGUUCAUGCCAAUGGAUUUUUAAAGUUAAAUUAGUUAUUGGCGUUAGAAAUUUACUCUUAUGCCUGGAAUGAGAUCUGGCUUACAGAUCAACUACUGGAGUUAAUUGUGGAAAUUUGUUUGAUUUGGUUUCUUAUAAAAUUGUUACCCUGUUCUAUUUAUGUUGGAGUAGCUGAAAUCUGAGGUUGCAUUUGUCAUUAACAAAUAGAAAUCCAAAAAGAGAGGAAAUUUAUAUCAUCCCCUCCACUUUUUCCUUGGAAUUGCGUGCUUCAAAUGUUCACUAAUAUGGUUAAAAAUUCAUGUUUUAAAAAUUCUGUCUUCUUCUGAAAGUUUGUAGCAGUUUGUUGAAUCAUGCUUCUUGUUGAUUUAACUUUGUAAAUUCCGUGAACAAGUCUAAACCUUUACUGCUGAUUUCAAUGACAUAGCUACAGUUGUAACUCACUGCUAAUUCUUGUCAUCCAGGCAUGCAUGCUCUGUUAGCGGCUUGACUUGCAGUCUCGAAGGUGUAAUUCACUGCUGAUUCUUGUGAUCCACUGCUUCAUUUUUUCUCUCGGUCUCAGCGUUUGGUUUGAGGUAUGAAUCUUGAACUUUUCAUUUCUUUGUCUGUCUUUGCCUUGGAUUGUGGCAUGUUCAUGUUGGUAUUUCUGAAGAUCAAGUUUUUGGGCUCUGGCAUGAUUAGAGAGGGUUAUAAAUCAUCAUUUCAUUGCAUGGGAAGCAUCGGUGUGCCCUUUACUUUUGAUCUUGAAAUAUGAGAAAAGGAUUAUAUGAGAGGGGCUAACACAGAAGUAAAGAGAAAUUACAUGGAAAAAAAACAGUAGGAACUUAAGGAGCAGUCCCUGUUCAUGCAUUUUAUGUCAAAAAGUGUGCUUUUCAACAUCACGACAUAGUUUUAGGAUUUAUAUUUGAUGUACUGACAGUCGAAAACUCCUUGACAUAUCGCAAAGCAGCAGAGGCCAUUGUGUGUAGUCUUCAACCGGAUUCACCAACUGUAUUAUGUUUGAUAUGUGGUUUGAAACAUUGAAAAAUUGUACAGCUGGACAGUGAGAUUUUGUUUGAAAUUUUGACUGUUAUACUUUGUUGUUUCAUCUUGUUUUUUGACAUUGAGUAUAAUAAUUUUUCUGUUAUACUUUGUUGUUUCAGAAAAUCCAUAGCCGUUGUGAUGUGUUGUUAGAAAUAAAUUGUUUGGAAUCAUUGCAUCAUGUUAAGGGUACUCUAAUGAUACAACAACUGAAUUCGUAUGUCAUUCAUGCCAUUGGAGACUUGUUGCAUUGAUAUUGAGAUAUUGGUAUUACACAUAUGCAUUGAGAAUGCGAUAGGAUGGCUAAUUGCUUAACAAAGGCUACAAAAGGAGUCCAUCAUUAGCUUUUACUCUUGUCCCGACCUCUUGAUUUUGCUUUGAAUGUAUGCAUGAGGAUGUUAUUGAUUUAUGUUUUCCUAGAUUGAUUGCUAUGUAAUAGCUUUUACUCUCCUUAAUAAAAAAAAAUAAAAAUGCAUGGACUAUAUCUUGUGUUUUUCCUCAAUAGCAAUGUUUAGACCUUAUUCAAUUUGAUUGGUGUUGGAUUUAGAUUUAAGAUAAACAUUAAAAACAAUAAAAAAAAAGUUGAAUUUGAAGUAUUGAUAGACACCAAUCGAUUAUAUUUUGAUUUAAUAAGUCCAACUGACUAAUUCCAACAAAUAUAAUAAUAAGAAAUUUGAUAUAUUUAAGUAAGAUUUUGGAUUCUGAUUUAAUAUUACAAAAGCUUUAUCAAGUAAUAAAAGAAUUAAUUUUCUUUAAAUAAGAUUUUAAAUUCUAAUUAGUAGUUAUAUAGCAUGGUAUGUGUGUGAAAAAUGGCGCAUUUAGAAGAUAUGUAUGUUUUUUUAAAACAAUAGGCUUAAAUCACAAUUAUUUGUACAUGUAAAUACAAUACUACAUUACAAUCUUUUCCAAUCAUAAUUGCAAAUACAAUACUACUUUUUAAUAAUUAUUUGUACAUGUAAAUGAGAUAAAAGUUAUAUAUAUUUUUACAAAAUGAAAUUUAAAUUUAAAAUGUUAUAAAAGUUUUAAAACUUCAAUUUCAUUAGUAAACAAAAUCCUCAUUCUUUAUUUUAUUUGUUUUAAAAUUAGGUCACCUUAAUUAAACUAAUCAUCAAUAAAUAAACUAAUCAAUGUUCAAACUUUGAACAUGCUUUAUAAUUUUAAAUUAUAAUGAGUUUAGUUAUAAUCUAACAAAUACCAACAAUUAAUUUUAGGUCAAUUAUACAUAUACCUUUAAAUAUCUUUUCUUUCAUUAUUAUUUGGGUGAUUGAUAAAGAAAUGAAAUUAAAGUUGCAACGAUUUCAUUUAAUAGAUACUUUUUUGCUUCGUGUGUUCUAAAUUUGUGCUGUUUAUUUUUAUUUGAUAAUGUAUAAUUGCAACUUCAAUUCUUUGAUAGUGUGUUCUAAUGUUAAUAUGUUACAGUAAUGGCUCGUCUGCCUUUAAUUGCACAAAGUGUGAGGCGUAAAAGAAUUGGUAUUGCAUUGACAAUAUGGUUGGAAAUCUGUAGAAUUACGAUUUGGUUCUUAUUUAGAAUGGGUGCCAGCCUUAGCCUACAUACUUAUAGACCAAGGAUUAGGUCCUAUACCUUAGAUUUUUAUGCAAAAAGGGAUUAUGUGAAAAGACUUGUAUAUGCUAGUGACGAGACCUGUAUUGAACAAGUUAGGAUGAAUAGAACUGCCUUUUUUAAACUAUGUGAGAUGUUAGAAUCGAUAGGGGGAUUGAAGCCGUCAAGGUUCAUGCUUGUUGAUGAGCAAGUAGCAAUGUUUUUACAUAUUAUCUCCCAUCACCUGAAAAAUCGAGUUAUCAAGCAUCACUUUAGAAGGUUCGAGGAAACUGUUAGCAAAGCAUUUCAUAGUGUUUUAAAUGUUGUCAUACGCUUACAAGAUGUGUUAUUUAAAAAGCCGGAGCCAAUUACAGCCAAUUCUUCUGACACAAGGUGGAAAUGGUUUAAGGUAUUGGACUGAGUUUUAUAUAUAACUUGUACAACAUUUAGUUGCUUUAGAUUUAAAAUAGUAUUCUAACUCAAGGUUUUAUAUCAUGUGAUAUAGAAUUGCUUAGGUGCUCUCGAUGGAACCCACAUCAAGAUUAGGGUUCCAACAGUUGAUAAACCUAGAUAUCGAACGCAAAAAGGUGACAUAGCAACAAAUAUGCUAGGUGUUUGUACACCUGAGAUGCAAUUUGUUUAUGUUCUUCCUGGUUGGGAAGGUUCAAUUGCCGAUGGACGAGUUCUUCGAGAUGCCAUUAGUAGAAGACAUGGAGUAACAGUUCCUCAUGGUAAAGUGGAUAGUUAGAGGACUUUGAUAUUGUUCAUUAAGAUCAAACUUUUUAUGCUGAAUUAAUCAUUUUAAAAAAAAUUUAAUUUUAUAGGUUGUUAUUAUCUAGUUGAUGCUGGAUACACAAAUUGUGAGGGAUUUCUUGCACCUUUUAGAGGAAAACGAUAUCUCUUGAACGAGUGGCGUCAAGGUUAUCAGCCAAGUUCUCCAGAAGGGUUUUUUAAUAUGAAACAUGCCUCAGCACGUAAUGUUAUUGAAAGAUGCUUUGGGUUAUUAAAACUUAGAUGGGGAAUACUUAGGAGUCCAUCGUUCUAUCCUGUAAUGGUGCACAAUAGAAUUAUUAUUGCAUGUUGUUUGCUCCAUAAUUUUAUUCGAACCCAUAUGAGUAUUGAUCCCAUUGAAGCAGAGGUGGGAGAAGGAUUACCUAGUAAUGUGGUGGAUGACGAUGAACCGAAUAUCACAAAUAUUCAUCCAUUGGAUGCUUGGGCUACUUGGAGGAUGGAACUAGCCAACCAAAUGUUCGAUGAAUGGCAAGCAUCUAGAAAUUAGUUAGGUUUAGGGACAAAUUGAGUUUGACUUAAUUUGUUGAUGUUAUUUUAUGUAUCUAGUUUAUGAAAUUUUGGUGGUGUUUGAAUAAAAUUCUGUAUUGUACUAAACUUGUUG
RNAcentral lists this long non-coding RNA (59242 nucleotides) under Gossypium barbadense (sea-island cotton). Its description in RNAcentral is "long non-coding RNA (GBAR_LNC019930)". The record is from RNAcentral. Lineage: Eukaryota; Viridiplantae; Streptophyta; Magnoliopsida; Malvales; Malvaceae.